CUUGAAGAAACCAAAGACCAAGGUCAAGUCGUGCGCUGGUCUCCUCAAACUAGAGUUUUGUCACACCCGGCUGUGGCAUGUUUCAUCACUCACUGUGGAUGGAAUUCCAUGCUCGAGACUAUUUGCUCGGGUAUUCCUCUCAUAGCCUAUCCACAGUGGACUGACCAGCCGACCAACGCAAAGCUCAUUGUCGAUGUCUUUAAGAUUGGCGUGAGGAUCAAGAAGGAAGCUGAUGGAAACAUAAGCAGUGAAGUGAUUGAGAAAUGCAUCGAAGAGGUCAUGGUUGGGCCAGUAGCUGAGCAGUUGAGAAAAAACGCGAUGGCACUAAAGGCCGAGGCUCAGAAGGCGGUGGCGGCAGAUGGAUCAUCCGAUGAGAAUAUUCGGCUCUUCGUGGAGGAAAUUACCUGCGACUCUUGCAAGAAGGAUGGUUCACGAAACGUAGGAAAUUUGAGCCAUGAAGGCCAAGAUAAGGUUAGUGAUAAAGGUGUGUAGGGAGAAACGUGUCCGGAUUGGCCGAUAAGAGAUUCUUGGCUUGUCUUGUUCACAUAAAAGUCACGACGUUAUUGUCCUAGAAGACAAGUAUGAUAUGAAGGUUGUGGUGUUCCUCCGCUUGGAAAAAUAAAGAGGACAAUUUCAAUACCUUCUUUUCUUGACAUGAUGUCCGUAUAUCAUUUGCUCCAUGAUUGAGAGAUUACCUUGUCCUCAAUCGGAGGUUUGAAAGAAAUAUAAUACACAGAACAUAAUCGUUCUGCUAAGAGGUGUCUGAAAUCACUUUCCUGUGGCGAUAACGCCCUUAAGAUACAAAGUAGUCUCUCAAAAUUCUCUCAACAUGGACACUCGGAAACUAAAAAAGUUUCUUGAAUGAAAGAAUGUAUUUAUAUAAGAACAAUGAAUCAAAGUAUCUAGUGAACAGACACAACCAUUGAAUUGAACAGAGUAGUUAACUUCCAACAUAUAUAUUUGUCUAAAAAAGCUAACAUUAAUAAAUAAGAAAUUUCGAAAUUGUUUAAGCACAACUUUUCACGAAUUCCAAGUUUUGCAAGACAAAUCAAGCCCAAGACCCAAUAUAAUCAAGUUAAAAUAGCUUCCUUCUAUUUUUCCUAUGCGAGACUUUUUUCCACAUUCAUCUUUCAAACUUUCUACGAAGGUUAAGUUUUUUAAAAAAAAAGCACAAAAUUGAGAAUUUUAAUGCACACAAAUAUUCUACAUAAGGGAGGAAUCUUUCAGUUUGCAAUGAGAUCGUGAGUAUGACAAUUCAAGUUUCAUAAAUUUUUGUGGUAACUUUUAAUCUUCUCUAGGCAAUCAACAAUCCAUCACCAUUGAUUUAUAUAGUUGGAUUAAUUUUAUAACUUCAAUUUAUAUGUUAUCAAUGGUGAUCGAUAUGGAUUGCAUAACAAAUAUAUAUAUUUUGCAGAUUAUGUACCACAUGAAAUUCUUCUUUAUUGUCGUGAGUAUUUAUUCAUUUGGGACAAAAUCGGAAAGCGAUCAGGCACGUGCAUAUUUACUUCUCGGGCCCACGAUGGGGGACUAAUUUUUUCUCCAUCUCCAUGAAUAGGAGAAAAACAAAAAAGAGAAAAACCAAAGUGAUUUGGAGGCUUGUAAACUUUUGUCCUCACAUCGGCACAUGAUAUGUAAUAUAUCAUGUAUUUAUACUCAAAAUCGAAAAGAAUAAAAUAGUUACAAGGAAUAUCUGCAAAUUGACACAGAUUUCAAUCUUAAUCCCGUCGAAGAGAAACUUAGAUAUACAUUUAUACGAAACCUUGAAUCAUAAACUAAAUAUAAUUUAUCAAAAGCGCGAUAAAACAUGGGUAUGCUGAUGAUGAAAAAACUAUGACCCAAUUCAAACUUUGGACAAUUUAUUUUGAGCAACCCGGAUAAAAUAUAGCUCCAGUAAAACCUGAAAAUCAUGAUGAACUUGAACUUAUGCGCGUACGAAUGUUCUAAGACAGCAAUUAGGACAUUUAAUUGGACACUGCACUAAAAUAAAAUAGGAAAAUAUAAGUCCUAAAUUUAGUUCUACGGUGGUUAAUUCAAUCCUAAAGAUUUUAGGGAAAAUUGUCUAAAAAGUCCUAAACUGAUUGCACUUUUACCAAUUUAGUACUAAACCUUUUAAUUUUAUCAUUUUUUUUUGGUCAAAAUAACAUUUUUCAUUCAUUUCCACAUAAAUAUCACAAUCCAACUACAAACCAAGACAAAUCCCAAACAACUUCAAAAUAAAACAAGCUCUAGAUAACAAGAUGAAUCAUCAGAAUAAGGUUAGAAGUCACUCGUUCAAAGAACAAAUCGAAGAUUUCUUCAAAUCAAAAUUAGUGACCGAUCACCAAAUCCAUCUUCAGUAAUAAACACACACCAAGAUGUCCAUCUAUUGCUACUACUUUACCUUUUAGUGGAGCGCGUUUAAGUUCGGUAUUCCCAGCACCAUCACCGUUUUGGUUGAACGAGUACAUAUUUUACACUUGUGAGAGCAAAACCUUUAAGAAGCUCCUCUGGUCUCCUUCGAAAUUAGACUUUUACACAAAAGAAACCCAAGGGAAGCGAAAACCUGAAAUCUUAGAUGUAAAAAUCCCUAAAUCUGGACUAGAACUCUCCCCAAAAUAGGAGAGAAAACCUUCUAAAUCCAUAUCGGAUUAGAAGAGAAAAGCUCCACAAAAUGGGUGGAAAGCAAGAAAAAGAAUAGAGAACCAAAUCAGCCAAAGAAAAAGGAAAAAGAAAGAGAAGGGAAAAUCUAACUCAAACCCUCCCCUCCAUGAAGGUUGAAAAAGAAAGUUGUAUGAAAAAUAGAAGGAGAGGAGAAAAUCCUAAUAGAGAGAGAGAGAGAAAAAAAAAUGAUAUUUAAGUUCUAAAUAUUUUCACAUUUCCUCAAUUAAAUUCAUUUGGCCAAUUUUAGCUAGAAAUCGCUUAUGUAGAUGAUGAUUAUCCUGCGUAGCAUAGCUGAUACUGACAUGGAUAAUUUUAAUAAUAUUUUAUUAUAUUUAAUUAAUUUUUAUAUUUUUAUUAAUUUUUUAUAUUUUAUUUUAUUUUUCCUUUUUUUCUUUAUUAUAUAUAUAUUUUUUGUUACUUUGGCCAGUGAGGUCGAGGCCACAAACUAGGGAGGGAUGGGUCUACGGGUUGAGACAAGGGUAGAUGUAGGAGUCAUGAAUGAAGAGCUUGUGGAGGAGGAUGGCGAACGUGGCACGGAGUGGGGCGGUUGUGGAAGAGGUGGCCAACCUUGAGGGAAAGGGAGUUGGGAUGAAUUUUGUUCACUACUUCUCUACUACUACUACCUUUCCAUUCUUCAUUCUUCUUUCUUCUUUCUCCUCCUCCUCCUCCAACUUGUUCACUAUCCACUUAUUGUAAUACCUAACCCGAUCCAUACUCAUUUUUCUUCUUUAUCGCAAAAUGACGCAUUUAAUCCGUUUACUAUUCAUUUAUUGUAAUACCCGACCCGAUCCAUACCCAAUUUCAUACCAAACUCAUUUAGCUCAUGACAAGGGUUCAAGGACUUUUUUAGUAUUGGACGAAUAAUAACGGUUAAUCAAGCUCAAUUCGCAUAGAAGGAUCAAGGAUCCGGACUAAGGCACACCACACGUUGAGGGGUCACCAAGAUCUAUUUCGCUGCAGAACCAUUAAGAUAACUCAUACAGACACACACGGUCACUUAAUUAAACAAGCUUUCACCUUUCAAUUUCUUAACAAAAAAGUCUCAGUAUCUGAAUGGGAUCUGAAAUUUGCGGCAAUGCGGAAGAAAAGAGAUUGCAGCACACAGUACAAGCUUUCACCUCCAAUUUCAAGAAUCUACGAUUAAACAAUAUUUCGAAAAAAAUCGGCAUCAACGAGUGAAAUGUUGCUCAAUCGGUCGCCCAAAUCAGAAACAGAGAACCCAAAACAUUACAACAAAAAAAGAAAUUUCCAAAGAGAAGACCCUCUCUCUCUCUCUCUCUCUCUCUCUCUCUCUCUCUCUCUCUCUCUCUCUCUCUCUCUCUCUCAUACAUAUGGGCACUUGAGGUCUCAAAGCAUAGCAGGCGAAUUGAGCAGAGCGGUAGGGCUGAUUCCGGGAGGUAGGGUGGUGAGGCGCGGCGAAGCCAAAGCACUUGCCGCCGACUCCUCCGACACCACCGAGUCGAUCCUCGCACUGGCCACCGCAUUGAACCCACACUUGGCUGAUCUCCUCUCCGCAAUGCUUUCUCUAUAAUGGAGGCUCCAUCCCACUCCCUCCCUCCUCCUCCGCCAAUCUUCUCACCCUCACUCAACUAAUCCGUCGAGUUGUCCCGCUCCGAUGAGGAAGACUCGCGUGCUUCCAUCGCUAACCGACGCCUCCCGAAACAGAGAGAGAUUAUAAAUUGGUUUUAAGUAGGUUGUAAAUGGGUUAUUUAGGCCUCUUUAUUUUAUAGACCCAUUAUGCUGGCCUACGAAAUCUGCUAUGAUUCAUUUAUAACUCAUUUAAGUAAUUUUGGGUUAUUAAAUGGGUUUUGAGCUCAUUUUGACAAAUCUAGUUGCUCCUAAUUCACUUAUGUUGACCGAAUUUUCUAUAUCUAGUCACCAGAAAUCAAUUUUUAGUGAUUGAAUUUGGUUUUGGGCCUUGGUUAAAGAAAGUUUCCUCCGACCAAGUCUCCAAUUUGUGAAUUAAAAUUACGGACAUCACUCACAUACAAAAUCAAAUUUGGUAUUUGUAACCCACCUGUCAAAACCUCUUUAUAUUCAUGAAAAUAUCCUAACACGUUACCAAUCCCUACGUUGUCCAUCCAGAUACAUGAACUUGGCCCUUCUAUCUAUGUUCUCCUUUGCACGCUAUGAAAUGAAGGAAAACCUCUCUAUAUUUCACAUGCGUGACCUGAAAUGAAGGAAAUAUCUUUAUAAAAUUGUGUCAAAAUACUAUAAAUUAUUGUCUAUCAAAAUGGUCAUGUAGAUGUUGUCAGUCCUCCAAUUUUAGCGCCAUGCAAUGUUUGGAAUGAUCUCCUUUUGCAUCUUGUAGCGGGAGUUGGCAAUAUGAUUGAUCGUGCUCUGACCAACAUCGACAUUCACCAUGUCAAAAGUAAUAAUCACCAUGAUAGAGGUCAACUUAGCAUUAUUGGCCCAAUCACCUACGAGUGGAUGUUGAGAAAAUACGAGGAAUGAUUGGAAAGAAUAAUGAAAUCAAAUUUUGAGAUGUUGUUGACACCUAAUUUUAGCAAAUCUAGGGAAAUAAAGAAAAUAAAAAUUGUAUUUGAAUAAAUAAAAGGAAAAAUAUGAAAAAAAUGGAGGAAAUUGAUUUGAUUGAUUAUGCAUGGAAAUUUGAAAUUCGAAUGAAUAUUCGGAUUUCGUUAAAUGCAUAAGUAAUUUAAAAAUCAAGUGAAUAAAGGGCAAGAAUUUUACAAAACGGAAUAAAUCUGAGCAAAAUUGAGCUGGUUGCGAAAUCAUACUCUGAUUUGCAGCUUUGAUUUAAUGCGACAGAAGAUGGAAACUCGGAAAAUGCCAUACAAAGCGGCCGUCCGAAAUCAUUAUAAAAGAGAGCUUCAUUUUCGCAACUGGGGUGGAGAUUUUGGAAAUUUUUGAGAAAAAAAAAAGACAAGAAAUUGGAGAGCAAGUAUGUGAGGAGUCUUGUUCUUUUGGGUUUAGUGAGUGGAAAUUCGAAAAGAAAAGAAAAUCUUUUGGAGAGAAAAGGUCAAUUUGCUUAGCCUUGGUCGAAGGAAAAGGGGGGGGGGGGGGGAAAAAGCAAUACAAGUGAUAUGAGAGAGAGGACAGGUGAGAAAAAAAAAGGGGCAACAAUGUCGUCUUCUUCAUGGACCCCUUGUCCACAUCGGCCCCGCGUCCACCUUGACGGCACCGCCUUCCCCAACUGCUAUUGUGCCUCCGCCACGCUGUGCCGCCGGCCUCGCCGCUUCGACCGCACCUUAGCCCUCGCUGAUAGAGAUCUGCUCGUGACCCAGCACUCAACGUCCCCUGCUUUGGCUGCGACUGAUGCCACUUGAGCCUGAAACCGCCACUACUUCCCUCUUACUGUCGCUCGCCUGCAGCAACUGUCGAAACCCCUCGCCGGUGACCUCUGCCGUGACGACCUGACGCCGUGACUCAUCCGAACCCGCAGCUUCGCCAGUCACCAUCGCGACGUCGCUGCUCGCGACCCAGUAAGCCGAUGCUGAUCCACGACGCUUGCUGUGCUCCUUGAUGCUCCGCUCGUCACCUAAUAGUCUCACCACGCCAUCUCCGCGCUAUCCGUCGAACCCCCUCACUGUCUCCCCCUCUGCUUCGACGCCUGACACCAACAGCAGUGACGCUUGACGUCGUUGCCCUAGAGACUAGUGACCGACGUUGUUGCUCUGGAGACCAGCGACCGACGUCCUUGCUUAACCCGACGCUCUGCUACUUGGUGCCGAAGCCCUGCGACCUGAUGUCCCUAACCGCCACACCUCACGCCCGAACGCUGCCCCCUUUGCCCACGUCAGAUGUGCUGCUCGCUGUGCGCUCGUCGAAAACCCUCGCCCGAGCUCCGAAUCGGCUAAGAUUUUUUUUUUUUAGGUACAUUUAUUUUAUUUUAUUAGGAAAGUUUAUUUUAUUUUAUUGUUUUGUUUUAUUUCUUGUUUUUCUUAAUUGAGAUAUUUCCCUAUGCAUAAUUGUAAAUUAUGACAUGCUAACUGAUUCACAACCGCGCCUGAAUUUUUUAUUUAAUCUAUAAGGCCUUAGAUGAAAUAAUUAAUUAAGCGGGGAUAAAAUUGAUACUUUGAUCUUUAAGGCUUAAGAUCAAUUUAUCGAUUUUAUUAAGCGAAAUAUUAUCCCUUGAUCUAAACAAUGUAUGAUAUCUUUUGUAAUUUUGAAUGGUUUGGCUUGUCUUGAUUGCUUUGUUUAUUUUGAAAUAUGUUUGAAUUAGAAUAUCGCAUGGUUUAGGAUUAUCUUGCAUGUUUAGGGUAGGAAUUUUAUUAUUUCAAAUUUUAAAAAAUCAAAAUCAAAAAUGAAAAAAUAAAAGAAAUCAAAUCAAUUUAUUUAGGUUGCUAGUUUUUUUUUUUUUUUUUAAAACUUGGAAUGCAUGUUUAAUUAUUUGGCAAUUAUUAAUUUCAAAAUUAAAAAAAAGGGGGAAAAUGAAAAACAACAAAAAAUCAUCAUGCAUAUGUCAUGUAGAGUUAAGGCAUCUUUUUGUACGUCAUUGCAUAUUAGGGUAAAAUUGCACUUAGUUUAAUUCUAGAUAAUAUUUUUCUUAAUUUAUUAUAAGUUUAGAUAUUAGAUAGAUUGCAUUUUAGGAUUAUUUGGGUUAAGAUAAUAUUUUAGUUUAAAUUAGGAUUUGGCUUAACCUAAUUCCUAAUGCAAAUUAUAUAGAAUCUUAAUCUAGUUAGAUAAUUUUCACAUUUUUCCUAAUUCCGAAUUUCAUGAAAAAUGCAAAAAAUUUCUUAGAAUAAAUUAGUUCCAUUCUCUAGGAUAAAUUGCAUUUUUUAGAAAUAAAAAAUAAAAAAAAUGUCAUGUAAAUGUCAUAUAGGAUUAGAUUUAUGAAAUGCACGUCAUUUAGAGAUUGUUAUUAGGUCCAUUUAAUUAGAAAUUGCAUGUUAUUAUAAUUAGGUCAUUUAUUAAUAUUGCAUUGCAUAUUGCAUGAUUUUCAUUAAUUAAGCGAAAAUAAAUAAAAGAAAUUGCAUGUUAAUUAGAAAUCAUAUCUAGAGUUAUUGAUGUAGAUUCUAAUUUAACAUUGCAGAUACUUCCGUUACUUUGAGGUAAGUUUUGUAAUUUAUUCUUCAUUUAUCUGAGUGUUAAAUUGGUGGUUUGUGUACUUGCAUCAUCGCCUCACAUGUUAGGGAAAUAGAUUUAAAAUCAAUUUAAGCUGUCUGCAAAAAAAAAAUUGAAAAUUAAAUAAUGGUACCGAAAGGGUAUUAGAGAAAUCUAGUGUAACCAAGUUCUCGUACUCAUAGUGUCUGGUUCGUAGGAGUAAAGUAAAACUCCCGACUCACUAAAAAAUAGAUUAGUGGUGACUCCUAGAUAAAAUUUAUUUGCAUGUUAAAAAACUUGAACCUAAGUCGCGAAUUGGUAUGGGCUUGGGAGAGCCCAAGUUAAGUUUAAGCUUAACAAUCCAUUAGCCAAACCCUGGGUGGAUCACCCUAAAAAAUUUGGUCGUGACAGCUUAGCGACUCCACUGGGGACUUGAGUUGAAACUCUUAGUGGACUUAGGCCAAUUUUCUUUUUCUUUUUAAAAAGAUAUUUUUGUUUGGCAACAAGGAUCCCAAGUAUGUCUCUAACAUUUAAGGUGUUAAAUGUUUUUCCAGAUGGGAAGAUAUAAUGAGAGUAGUCUUUGCUAACCCUUGUCUUCCAGGUUGGAGUUGGGGAUGAAUGUUUUAUAUUGAAGUUAUUGAAGUGUUGCUUGAUUUAAAUUGUUGUGCAUGUCUUGCAUUUAACACUACAUUAUUGCACACACAACUUGUCGCCGGACCUGGGGCCGCACUAUGAUAUUUAGGAUGGUAUUGAGUUGGAUACGACUUCGACUGCAGGGCCGCGUAGUAGAGGUUGCCCAACUCAAUCCUGGAAAUUUUUCUUGGUGUCAAGAAUGUUUACCUCUGCGCACGAGGUUGCGUUGCAUUGGGGUAUCAUUCCUGACUGAGCCGGAGUUAGGAGGACUUGAUUUAGUAUGCAAGGCUGCAACUAAGUCAUCCCACCCUUUUAACUUCACCUUGCUUAGCCUUCCUAGUUAGAAAUCGAACCUCACACUUCAUGCACUUCUCUAUCCUUUACUCUUGCAAUUUACUUAUUUAUGUCUUUGGUUGGUCCAUGACAUUAGGUUUGUUGAGUCUUGGUCUGUAAACAAUGGGAAGAUCCGACAUUCAAUUCAUGCCUGCACCAAAGGUUGAACUCAAAUCAUGGUGGGAUUGUCUAGGCCACGAUGGCCAAAGCUAUGUAGAGAGCAGACUUGGUCACCUUGGUCCCCUCCUUGACAUUGAUGUCCAAAGUGGCGUCAUGCAAGCACUUGCUCAUUUCUGGAGCCCCCGAACAUCAACGUUUAUAUUUGGUAAGCAUGAGCUGACUUCGACUCUGGAAGAUUACAACAUUGCCAUAGGAAAUCCUUUGGAAUUGGAAUUAAUAAAUCCACCCAUUGGAUUAGAACCAGAAUCGAUUUUGUCUGAUUUUCUUAGGAUGAAUAAGAAUCUGAUAAAAGAGUGUUGGAAGAUAAUUGUCUUGCAUGUCCUUUUUACUUCCUAGAUCAGAGUUUUGCUAGUGCUGAUACUCUUUUAAAAAGUAGGAUCUUCCUCCUAGUUUUUUUUUUGUUUUUUUUUUGUUUUUUUUUUUGUUUUUUUUUUCGGGUUUAUUGUUUUCCGUCUUCGUAAAGGCGCCAUUAAUCCUUUUGUCGCAUGGGUGGUCAAACAAGUGUGUGCUAGGAUUAGUUUUGUCAAUACUAGUCUAGCUGAAACAUUUUUGUCACUCACCCGAUUUAAGGAAGAUGAAGAUAAAACCUUUCGUGCACCAAUUGAACUUUUACAAAUCUUGUUCUUUUCUCAUAUGAAUAAGAUCAAUAUUCGCAUGAAUAUUAUUAAUGUCACUGAUUCCCAUCAUCCCAUCGAAGUAUUGGGGAUCACCGGUGUCACUUCCUACUACCCACUCCGAGUGGCUCAUCAUUUACAAAUCCAGUUCUUUUCCUAUGGCAUGCUAAAUGUUUCAAGUCUCCAAAGCACGUCUCUCUCAUAGUGAUGAUGAGUCAAUCCCACUAUUGGGGAUCACCAGUGUCACUUCCUACUACCCACUCCAAGUGGCUCAUCAAUAUCGAGUUGUGCAAGAUCUAUUGCCCCCUCUCAAGCUGGGUUUGUUCCAAGUCCGAUUCACUGCUAAGAAUGGCGAUCACAAGAAGGAACUUCGCUAUAUUGAACAAGCUUGGCUCGCAUGUCGCGAACUAAAGUUGAUCUUACCUGAAGAUGAGCUUGAAGGGAAUGAAAAGACUUAUUAUGCCACAGCUCGAUACAUUCGUCAACACAAGAUUCUGACCAAGUAUCUCCCAAAGGUGCCAGAUGUGACUGAGAAGCCCAAUCGGCAAGCGGAGCUUAAUCGUCAAAAGAGGAAGAUUGAAGAACUUGAAGAGCAAGCCAAGAAGGACGCUAAGGAGAAGAGGCAAUUACGUCAAGCGUUGGCUUCCCAUGUGUUUAUAGAUCGGGCCAAAUAAAGUGGCUUGAAUCUAUUUGGUCUUUUUACUUAAUGCUUAGGAAGUUGAGUCGUUUACUUGAUUAGUUUAAGGUCUUGCGAGUUUCUUUACAUUAUUAAUGUCAAACAAUUUCAUUAAUGAAUAAAAGCGGUUAGACUUUCGUCAUGGAUCGGCAUUGUUUUAUAUGAAGUGCUUAUGUGUAUACAUCUAUUCAAUUUUAGGUGAUAACGGAUUCGCCACACUCUCCCAUUAUUACGCGAUUAAGAGCUAAGAUGGCCGACCAAAACGAGAUGCGCGGUUGCAUGUCCUUUAUGGAAAAUCAACUCCAACAGUUAGCUGAUUCUAUGCAGCUUAUAACAGCUCAACUUCAAUCCAUCCAAGUGAACUUGAAUCCUCCACUCGCUUUGCCUAAAAUAGUAGCCCCGAGGCCGGCAAACAGGGCCCAAAUGAGUGAUGAUGAAAUGCUCGAGCUGGAAGAUGACGUGCUGUUAGCCCCUGUUGGAAAAGUCAAGUCUGAUAGCGUUCCCAAGACAGAUCAGGAUGAGCGAAUUGCAAAGCUAGAAGAGAAAGUGAGACAGUUGCAGGAGUCACAAAACUCACUCCCGUUCGACCUCUCGGUCUAUGAGAAGGUCAAAAUGCCGAGAAAGUUCAAAAUGCUAGAAUUUGAGAAGUACGACAGGACAUCUUGUUCGAAAUCUCAUUUGUAGAUGUACCACAUGUGCAUGGCCCAGCACGUAAAAAAUGAGCCCCUUAUGAUCCAAUCGUUUCAUGCGAGUUUGACCGGGUCCGCACAAAACUAGUAUGUGAUGAAGAACGUAAACCUCCUCGAAACUUAGAACGAAGUGGCAGACGCGUUCCUUAAACAGUACAAGUUCAACAUGGAUAUCGCACCCUCCCGAGAAGACUUGGAGCAGAUGGAAAAGAAAAGGAGCGAGUCAUUUAAAGAGUAUGCUGUGAGAUAGAGAAACCUGACGGCUCAAAUUACUCCUGAACCUACCAAAAAGGAGUUGAUGAAGUUGCUUGUGAAGACCCUUCCAAGUUCCAUAACCGAAUGACCAGUACGUAUGUCGAGAGCUUCAAUUAGCUUAUUCCUGUAAGAGAACAAAUCGAGAUGGGGAUAAGGGAAGGAUGGUUUUCUGAGCCAUCUACUAAAAGGUUCUCUACUAAGAAGGAGAAGGAAGCGGUCGUGGAUAUGAACAUGGCUUAUAGCCAAGAAAGUGCCAAACGUGCCUCAGCCAUCCAGGUGAACCCAAGACAGCAACAACCCGUUAGCUGUCAAUCAUUUGCCCAAGCGAAUAAUAGAAGGCAUUUCUCCCCUCUCCCUGGGUCUCCAUCCCAAGUGCCGACAGUCCUCCGAAAGAAGGGUUUGCUUAAUAGUGAACCAAAGCGCCCUAACCGUAAGGCAUUCACGGUUACGACCCGACGAAAAAAUGUGACUACUAUAACGAUGAACUGGGGCAUUGAUGAAUGUUUCACCCUCAAGCACCAGAUCCAAAAUCUCCUGGACAUAAAAGCCUUUUCAUUCCAAACUGCUCAGCUAAACGUCCAAAAAAAUCCGCUACCAGAGAAUGAGGGUAUGGUGAAUGCUAUCUUGGAACCUGUAGUCAGAUGGAUCAGGAACUCAAAGGUGCAUGUGGUAGAUGCCUACAACGGGCUAGUGAGAGCUGGGUAUUAUCGAGGUCAGGAAGAUGUCCCCCUAUCAGUGAUGAGAGAAAGAGUUGCCAAAAUGGUGGAUGACGGCAUCAUUGUGUAUGCUGAUCGUAACUGCAUAGUUGCUACUAUAUCCCACCUCAUCAUCAAUUGGGAGGAGGAGUAGGCUGCACUCGAUGCUGACAAGGAAGAGGUUGAUCACUCGCUUAUGGACAUGCCCCCCAUUAGAGGAUGCAUCCGACGAGUAGAUAGUGAUAGAGGUGCCUCAGCCAUAUGAGUAUGUCAACAACAAGGCAGUGCCUUGGUCCUAUGACCUGGAUGUUGACAUUGUUAUAAGAGUAACCUUAGCCCACAAGAGUAACUCUUUUACUACUUUUGCACAUUCCCCUGCGUGGGAAUUUUUAUUUUCUGAAUGAUGUUUUCAGUUUCUUCUUUCUUUUAGUGAUAGAGUGUUGCAUUUUUUUUUCAUUCAAUAAAUGUAAUUGAUUAAUGAAUUUCAAUGAAAUUACAAGUUUUAAUUUGAGGGCAUGAUAAGGUGCACCAAACCGGCCCGGUGAUGAUAUCCAGCCGAUAAAAGAAAAGAAAAAUCCAAGGAGAAUUUCGAGGCCUGGGCUUCAUCAUGCUUCCUCGUGUCAAAAUGUUUCAAAAAAUGUUUUCGCCAAAGAAUUUCAAAAAAAAAAAAAUAGAAACAAAAACAAAAAAAUGUAAAUUACUCUGUUUGUCUUUCUAAUUUAUCUACUUCAUGUUUUAAGAACAAUCUUAUGGCAUGCAAAGGUGUGGAAAUGGUCCAAUCCAAUGCAACAAGUAUUGAUAAUAAUGAUCCUGAAGACUCGAUCGAAGACUCCAUUGAAGUAUCUGGGAACAACAUGAAAAAGUUAAGGCUCUCACAUCUGAGCAGACCGUCACUAUUAAUUUAAGUGACAUUGAAGAAGCCAAAUAAGUGAAAAUUGGGGCGAGUCUCCCCAAAGACGAGGCUGAGCGCCUAAUUCAAUUACUGAAGGAAUAUCAAGAAAUUUUUGCAUGGACCUACACUGUCAUGCCUGGACUAGACCCGUCAAUCAUGGAGCAUUGCCUACCUACUAAUCCGGACGUGCCACCUAAGAAGCAAAGGCUACGGAGGACUAUGCCCGAGCUCUCGAAGAAGAUAGAGGAAGAGGUGAAGAAGCUUUUGAAUGUGGGAUUCAUUGAAGUCCCAUAGUACCCCGAAUGGGUGGCUAAUAUUGUGCUGAUGAUGAAGAAGGACAGUCGACUUCGAGUUUGUGUUGACUAUCGGGAUCUGAACAAGGCUAGUUCAAAGGAUGAUUUCCCAUUACCACACAUAGAUGUCCUUGUGGAUAGUACUACUGGUUUUGAACUAUUCUCAUUUAUGUAUGGUUUUUUCUGGGUACAAUCAGAUAAGAAUGAAAGAGGAAGACAAUGAGAAGACUGCAUUUAUUACCCCGUGGGGAACCUUUCAUUAUAAGGUCAUGCCCUUCGGACUCAAGAAUGUAGGGGCAACCUACCAGCGAGUCAUGGUCGCAUUAUUUCAUGACUUGAUGCACCGGGAGAUUGAAGUCAAUGUUGAUGAUAUGAUCGUAAAAACCCGACUAGGAAGAAGCCACAUCGAAACCUUGAAGAAGUUGUUCGAUCAACUUUGUGAGUUCAAGCUUCAUCUAAAUCCCACUAAAUGCAUGUUCAGAGCAACAUCCGGUAAAUUACUCGGAUUUAUUGUAAGUAGUAAAGGGAUUGAGAUUGACCCUUCCAAGGCUAAGGCCAUAUGUGAGUUGCAACCUCCGUCAAUGAUUAAAGAAGUCCAAAACCUUUUAGGGAGAUUGAAUUACAUAGCUCAAUUCAUCUCCCAACCAUCUGAAACUACCAAGUCGUUCUUCAAGCUUCUAAAGAAGAACACACAAGUCAAUUGGGAUGAUGAGUGUUGAGAAGUGUUCAACAAGCUGAAGCAGUACUUGAUGAAUCCAUCAGUUCUUGUCCCACCCUCAUCGGGGCAUCCUUUGAUUCUCUACCUCACUAUUCAUAGUGAGUCAUCGGGUGUAAUGUUAGCCCAAGAAAGUCCUGCUAACAGAAGAGAACAAGCCAUUUAUUACCUGAGCAAGAAGUUCACUAUAUCAGAACAUGACAGGUUACCCUUCGCAUUGAUGGCGUAUCGGACAUUGAUCCCCACUUCCACUAGGGCAACCCCUUUUGCUCUAGUGUACGGCAUGGAUGCAGUUUUGCCUGUGGAAGUGGAGAGUCCUUCUUUGAGAGUUUUAUCCAAAGUGGAGUUGUCUGAGGCGGAAUGGUCAUGACAAAGAUUUGAGCAGUUGAACUUGAUCAAUGAGAAAAGAUUAAGGGCUCUCUACCAUGGCCAAAUAUAUCAACAGAGAGUAGCCAGAUCUUUCAACCAGAAGGUGCGACCGAGGCAUUUCGAAGUAAAUGACCUAGUCCUAAGGAAGCUGUUGCCAAUCUUUCUAGAUCCUAAAGGCAAGUUUGCUCCAAACUGCAGCGGCCCAUAUAGGGUGAAGAAGGCACUUCCUGGUGGUGCCUUGAUCUUGGCAGAAAUGGAUGGUCGUGAGUUUUCCACUCUAGUUAAUUCAGAUGUUAUCAAGAAGUAUUACCCAUGAUAAAAUUUUCCAUGUCAUAUUUUGAACUACAAAACAUUUCUAUGAUGAAUAAAUUGCUUCAAUGAGUUGAAUUGUUUAAAUUUGUUGCAAAUCUUGCAUUUUCCUUCCUUGAUGAAUUGUGUGAGACUGAAUGUGUCAAAUGGGAUACUUUGGAAUGAUGAAAGGAAAACCUUAUACCAUACACUAUUUCAUACACUAAUCCCCAGUGAGUUGUGUGGAAAAAUUCCGUGCUCAUAAGGAAAAGGUGAUCCCGCAAUGGGUACGUCAAUCGAAGUGAUGAGAGGCAUUUUUUUCUCUAUCCCAAACACUACAUGUGAUCCAUUGCUUAACCCAUUUGAGCCCCAUACACUUAUGAAGAUUCUUUUUAAAUUAUCAUUGUCAAGGAUCAUCCCACAUUGGGACAAAUUCAAAACGAAUGGUAAAAUCUUGUUGCUCACACUUGCAUCAAUCUUUGAGUAAUGCUUUCACUGUGUAACUUGUAUAGUAAUUUAAAGUGCCUUAGGAUGACAAAGAUCAAUCCUUUUUUUUUUUUUUAUCCUAUACACUUUCAUCCAUUGCAUAGCCCACUUGAGCCCAUGAUUUCGUUCCAUGUUAAACCUAGGUGGUGAUCAUCCCCCACAUUGGGGCAAGGCAUAAAAAAAAGAGAAAGAAAAAAGAGAACCAUUCAAGUAACAUGGCUUAGAAUACUGACUUUGUCCAAAGAAAAUAAGUGCAAAAAAAAAAAAUGGGGCAUGAAAAAGCAGUGUGCCUGGUAAAAGCAAGGCCAAUGUCCAAAAAAAAGAGAAAUCAAAUUCUUGAGUUGUAUCUCCAACAAGGCAGUACUAAUCAAAUGCUAUCAAUGGAGUCAUGAUAUAAAAAAUCUUCGAUAAUGGAGAAGGAAAGUGCAGGAAAUGUCAAGAUGAUCACCAAUUUUGACCCCCUAAACACUUUUUGAGCCUAAUAAUCCUUUUAUUUCUCAACCCAUGAACCAAGCCUACGUUACGUCCCUUGCAAAGUCUCUUCAGAUUAGGGCACUUGGAUUAACCUAGGGGUUCACAUGUUUUAAGCAUCGUUCGAAGAAGUACGAACACAAUUAUUUCUUUCUCAUUUUGCAGGGUUCUUGACGUGUAAACUCAGAGAUGAUUACAGAAUAUCACUCAUUCUUUCAUUGGCCUCAACUCAAAGAGUCCCUUUUGUUAAGCCAUUGACUAAGCCCAUAUUACGGUCCCUGAUAAAGAUCUCUCAUAUUGGUAAGGUCGUACCACUUGCGAGAUUGCACAGACCCUUGUUUGGCAUGAUGACAGUGAGAUAGAGUGAUUGUAAAAAUCCUGCAUCAAAGGUCAGGAUGAAACGACUCUUUUUAAUGAGGGUGAGUACAAAGUCCUUUCAAACCGAAGGAUCCUUCAUUUGACACAUCCAUGACACUCAUGUGUUUAGAUUGGAACAUUCUUUUGAAAUAUUUCCCAAUGGAAAUUAGGUGAUGCAAGAUUGAUAGAAAUCAUCACGCAUGAACCUCAUUUGAAUUAAUGCAUGUCUGUGAAUGCAUAUUGCCUCUCCUACAACUAUGUUUUGUAGCAGACAUAUCCCCCAAGGAACAGAGAUUUCACUAGGUAAGUAUAUCUCUAUUCAUACCUUAAAUACUUGUCAUUGUAUAGGUAUUCAUUUUCAAGCACUACAACUCGAUGGAGUUGCCCCUCAAAGGUUUUUCCCAGAUUCAUUUUGAUUAAGGUGACCGAAGAAAAGUUCGAGUCCUGGUCAGAUGAUUUAUGUUGCAAUACUAAGCGACCGUAGAAUGGUACGAGUCUUAGGCAAUACUUAUUUAGGCAACUAUAGAAUGGUACGGGUCCUAGAAAAUCUUUUUUUUUUUGUUUAGACGACCAUAGAAUAGUACAAGUCCUAGAUAGUAUUCAGGCAAUGUAGAAUAGUACUGGCCCUGGAAAAUGGAUCUCAAUUUAGGCGACCAUAGAAUGGUAUGGGUCCUAGACAACACCUAUUCAGGCAACCGUAGAAUAAUAAGGAUCAUGGAAAAUGAAUCCUAGUUUAGGCGACCGUAGAAUGGUACGGGUCCUAGACACAACCAAACACUAUCAUACUGGCGACCGUAGAAUGGUAUGGGUCCUAGGAAAGCAGUCUCUUUGUAAAGUCAAGUUACUAUUCUAGGUGACCGUAAAAUGGUACGAGUCCUGGACAUGUAACACCAACUAUAUCGAAUUACUCUACCCUCCUUGAAGGUAAGUUAUUCCAUGUAGUUCAUUUAUCAUUUGCAUUAGUAUUUCCAUGCAUCAUAUAAAUUGCAUUCAAAAAAUGGAAUUCAUUUUCCAACAAAAAGUCAUUCAGUACAAGUGCAUGAUCAAAAUUUAGAUCUCAACUUGUCUUUGAAUGCAACUUCCACGAGAUCACUUUCAAAGAGGGGCAGUUGUUGACGCCUAAUUUGAGCAAAUCUAGGGAAAUAAGGAAAAUAAAAAUUGCAUUUGAAUAAAUAAAAGGAAAAAAUGAAAAAAAAAUGGAGGAAAUUGAUUUGAUUGAUUAUGCAUGGAAAUUUGAAAUUCGAAUGAAUAUUUGGAUUUCGUUAAAUGCAGAAGCAAUUUAAAAAUCAAGUAAAUAAGGGCCCGUUUGGUUCAACUUUAGCGAAAUGCAAAGCCAUUUCCCCAAGUAUCUUUAGAAGAAUGGGCAUUUGGUGAAUGUUGAAAUGUUUGGGAACUAUUAUUUUGGUGCAGCAUUUUGCAAAAUAGCUUUGAGGUGAAAAGAAAAAGGAAAAAAAGAAAAGGAAAAAGGAGGAGGCGAUGUUUGAAGCAGAGGAGGGAGCGAGUGUGGCAUCCCAUAAAUUCAAAGCCAAGCCAUAAGGUGUGUUAAAGCCUUUGAUUAGGUGAUAGAAUUUCCAUGGCUUAUGCUUUAGCCAAUUAGUCUUUUAAUUUGAUGAUUUGUGCUUGUGACUGUGGAAAUUUAAAUUUAAUAGAUUAAUAAUCUAUGCUUGGCCAUAUGAUUUAAAUUUUAAUGAACAAAAAUGUCCCAAGACUUUGGCCGAGACGAAAAUUGGAAUUUAAAAAUAUUUAUAGAAGAAUUUCAAAAAACAAGAAGAAGAGAGGUCAGAAUUCGAUUGGGCCUUAAGCCCAAGAGUGGAACCUUAAUGGGCCAAGUUGGCCGGCCCAUUAAAUCCCACAAGGGGGCUGUCGACCAGCCCAAGGAGGAGUGGCCGGAUGGGCCCAAGCCCAAGCCCAAACCCAAUUCAAAAAAAAAAUUCAAAAUGACAAGUGGCAAAGGGGAAGGCCUUGCAUUGGCCAUUGGUGAGGCAAUUCUCAUGAUUGCAAGUGAUGAGGAUUAGGGAGUAUAAAAGGGGAGGAGAGAGAGAAGGUGGCCGGUUUUUGCUUCAUUCGGCCCAAGAGAGAGGGUGAGAGAGAGAGAGAAAUCGCGAGAGAGAGGGAGAGACCGAGAGGGAGAGGAGGCGGAGCCGAGGAGGAACCGCCGUGUGCCGCCGUCCGUUCGCCGUAUACGCCGCCGUACGCCGUCGACCGUCCAUCCUAGAGGCAAGUGGAGUCCUCUAACUUCUCUUGCAUGUGUGUAUAUGGUUUGCAUGUUCGAUUUUGGGUGUUUUUAGUGAGAAAACCGAGGUAAGGGUGGUUUGUUCUCAAGCCGUGUGACUGUUCUUGCUCGGGUUGUGGGAGUCAGUAACUUGUUUGAGUUUGCAUGUGUGUUUGGAGUCCUAUUUCGGCUUCGAUGUCUUCAUAGAAGUUGUAGCUAACGUCUUUCACUAUAACAUACUGAAAUUUAAUGGAAAAUUAUGGAGAUAUGAGGGGUCAAAUUCCUAUUCUACGGAGACCCCAGAUCUGUGAAGUUUUCACUGACCUUUUGUUGGAUUCUUGUUUGCAUGUCGAUUUCUGUUGAAUAUUUGACUACAAUGUCUUCAUGAAAGUUGUAGGUAACACCUUAAAAUACAACAUACUCAAAUUUGAAGAGAAAUGAACAAGUAUAGCCUAGUAAAUCGGCUAGAUCUUGGAGACGAUGAUUCUGGUGAUGUGUUCCGAGACACCCGAGACUUCAUGGACUUAAAUGGUGACCAUACUUUGGUUAUUUGACCUAUAUCUCUUCAUGAAACUUGUAAAGGACACCUUGAUACAUAACAUAUCCAAAUUUCAGAGGAAACGAAAGAGAAUAGAUGGGUGAAAUCUAAAUAUUUCGGAGAUGUGUAUUCUGGACGAUGCGGUAGUGGUUCCAGAAGCUUCGUGAGGUCGUGUAAAAUAAUAUAAAAAGAAUCUGACUUGGAGUUCUUCAUGAAAGUUGCACGAAAAUGUCUUGGCUAUCACCCUGUACAAUUUCGUAAUUUUUGGAGGUCGUAUGAAUAUUUUAAUCGAAUUUAUUUGGAAACUGUGCAUUCUGGCUUUUAUCCGAAUAUCAUGUGCUAUUUUGUGGAAAUUGUGAAAUUCAAUUUGGCCAUGAAUUUUGCAUGAAAUUUGUCACCUUAUUGGUUUGUUUAAUGAUUGUUUGAAUAUUAUGAUUUUGGGAAAAUGAUAGAUAUUGAAUUUAACAUUUAUUUAUGAAAAUGAAUAAAUAUAAUAAUAAAAUUAAAUAAAAAUAAUAAUAAAUAAUAAAAAAAUAAAAAUGGAUUAUUUUAUUGGCCAUAAAUUCCAUUGAAUUUAUUAGUAAAUAAUUAUGCAUUGUUGCAUGUAUGAUAAGACAUUGGUGUAUGUAUGAUCAUGAAUUGUGAUGCAUGUGUGAAUCAUAUGCCAUGUAAUAAUGAGAUCAAAAGAAUGAUAAAUGUGGAUAAUGAUAAGUGAGUAAGUGGUUGUGGUGGAGGAUGAGGCCGGAAUGUGCAGAGAUGCAUUGCCGGAAUUCCCUGGGAGAUUCAGGAUGCCUGGAGUGUGGGGGGCCGGAAGCCUUGUCGGAGGUCUUUGCCCGAAAGGAAUGCCUCGCGAUGCCAGGAUUUGGGUGCGAGAUGCCUGGCUAGAAGGGUAAAGGCCGGAAGCCCUGUCGGAGGUUUCUGCCCGAAGGGAAUGCCUCGUGAUGCUAGUUGAGAUGCGAGAUGCCCGGAAUGUGGGGGGCCGGAAGCCCGGUGGCCUGGGAGGCUGAAUGCUGGGAACCCUGUCGGAGGUCUUUGCCCGAAGGGAUGAUGAAAUUGAUGAUUGAGAAAUGGGUGAUGUGGUGAUCAAAAUUUAAAGAUAAAGAUGAAAAAUUAAAUCAUGACAUGAAAUGCAUGUGAUGUGAUAUGAUGAUCACCCAUGAUAUUAUAUGCAUGAUGAUAUGCAUGGUAAUAAUGAUGAUGAUGAUAUGUGAUGUGAUAUGAUGAUCACCCAUGAUAUUAUAUGCAUGAUGGUAAUAAUGAUGAUGAUGAUAUGUGAUGUGAUAUGAUGAUCACCCAUGAUAUUAUAUGCAUGAUGAUAUGCAUGAUGGUAAUAAUGAUGAUGAUGAUAUGUGAUGUGAUAUGAUGAUCACCCAUGAUAUUAUAUGCAUGAUGAUAUGCAUGGUAAUAAUGAUGAUGAUGAUAUGUGAUGUGAUAUGAUGAUCACCCAUGAUAUUAUAUGCAUGAUGAUAUGCAUGAUGGUAAUAAUGAUGAUGAUGAUAUGUGAUGUGAUAUGAUGAUCAUCCAUGACAUGAUAUGCAUGAUGAAAUGCAUGAUGAUGAUAAUGAUAUAUGACAUGCAUGAUGACAUGUACGAUAUGUUGAUGCCAUGAUGAUAAUGAUAUGUAUGAUAUGAUGAUGCAUGAUUAAAAUGCGCAUGAUUUCAAGGUAAGUAAUGCCUGCAACGUAUGAUGAGAUGCAUGGUGCAUUGAGUUGUUAUUGGAUUUCCCUAUCUGCUGAGUGGUUGUACUCACCCCUUUUGGGGAAUAACAUUUCAGAUUAGCAGUAUGCCGCUUCCUGCCGUCUCGCGGGGGGUGUUUUAUGGUCUACCAUCCGAUGUAGAGGUCGAGUGUGCUGAGAUAGAUUGUCCCUCUGUUCCCAAACUAACUUUUAUUCGAGUACGCUGUCUAGUGAUGUACGACAUAGGCCUGGCUGGGGCCCUGUCAUUCAGGAGUUCAUUUCUAUGCACGUUCGUCGGGAUGGAGCUAUGCGAGGGAUGUUGCCGCCGCCACCGCCUGAUGCACCGGGUUGGGUGUGAGACCUGCGUGCGAUGAGUAGGAGCUGGAUCUUUUUGAUGUAGAUAGUCGACACUUUCGAUGGGGGUUUGUGCUCAUAUGAUGUUGAGGGUCGAGGGUUUCUUUUUGAGAUUUUAGGCAAGACAUGGCAGAGUCCUAGCUUUUCUUGUUUUGUAUCGACCCGAGAAAAAGGAAGUCCCAUCCUAAAAGAAUAUGUAAAUAAUGUGUCGAUGUUUGUUUAUAAAAUCCUGAUGUUUAGUUGGUGUGUAUUGGUAUCAUGGAUUGGUAGGGGGAUAGAUGGUGAUGUUUAAUUUGCUUCCACUAUAAGUCGCGCUGGGACCGCUUUAAAAAAAAAAAAAUUGCCUGUGAUUAACGACGCUUGUUCUAAGUACUUCAAUAGGAAAAGGUAAUAAAGUGUAACAUCAGAGCUUGUGGCGAUCGUCGAAGGCUUCGGGGUGCUACAGCGAGUGGGAGGCAAUCAGAGAUGGUGGGGGAGGCGGCCGGUGGCUGUGGUGAGGGAGGCGGCGAAUCGCGCGACCCGCGCACCGCCAUCACGUGGGUCACUGCCUUAGGUGACGGCCCACGCACCGCCGUCGCGUGGGUCGCUGCCUCAGGCGACGGCCCACGCACCGCCGUCGCCUGGGUCGCGCCCUUAGGCGACGUUGUUGGGUCACGCGACCCACGCACUGCCAUCGCGUGGGUCGUACGGCCUUAGGGCGACACCGCCUGGGGCCGUGCGACCCACGUACUGGUGGUGCAUGGCGACGGCAGUGCGUGGCGAUCGGAUAUGGCAGGCUGAGCAUCGCUCAACCCGUCGCAUGGGUUGCGCGACCCAGGCGACGGUGCCUGAGGCCGCGACCCACGCGACGGUGGUGUGUGGUGACGGCGGUGUGUGGGCGACCAGCUCCGGCUAGUUGAGCACUGCCGGCUGAGCUUCGAUCUUGAAGAAAUAAGGAAGACGAUGAACAAUUGUUUGUUAGGGUAAAACAAGAAAACUCAAUUAUCAAUGAGGGAAAAGUGGAAGAAAAAAAAUUCUAUAAACCCCCCCUUUAGCAUUCUGAAAAUGUUGAAUGCCCAAAGCAGGUGGGAACCUACUUUGGGCUUUCAGCAUUCUAGAGCAUUUCAAAUGCUAGCAUUCUCCCAAGUAUACCUCCAAAUGCUUAACCAAACGGUUGAAAUUUUUCCCAAGGGGCUUUCGGGGCUGAAAGCCCCUUGGGAAUGCUGAACCAAAUAGCCCCAAAGGGCAAGAAUUUUACAAAAUGGAAUAAAUCUGAGUAAAAUCGAGCUGAUUACGAAAUCACGCUCCGAUUUGCAACUUUGAUUUAAUGUGACAGAAGAUGGAAACUCGGAAAAUGCCAUACAAAGCAGCCGUCUAGAAUCAUUAUAAAAGAGAGCUUCAUUUUUCGUAACUGGGGGUGGAGAUUUCAAAAUUUAUGAGAAAAAAAAGAAGACAGGAAAUUGGAGAGGAAUUCGAAAAAUUGGAGAGCAAGUACGUGAGGAGUCUUGUUCUUUUGGGUUUAGUGAGUGGGAAUUCGAAAAGAAAAAAUAUUCUUUUGGAGAGAAAAGGUUAAUUCGCUCAGCCUUGGUCGAAGGAAAAGGGGGGGGGGCUAGAGAGCAAUACAAGUGACGUGAGAGAGAGGACAGGUGAGAAAAAGAAGGGGCAACAGUGUUGUCUUCUUCGUGGACCCCCUGUCCACGUCGACCCCACGUCUACCUCGCCGUCACCACCUUCCCCAACCGCUACUGCGCCUAAACCACGCUGUGUCGCCGGCCUCGCCGCUCCAACUGCACCUUAGCCCUCGCUGAUCGAGAUCUACCCGCAACCCAGCACUUCAUGUACCCUGCUCUGGUCACAAUCGAUGCCACUUGAGCCUGAAAUAGCCACUACUUGCCUCCUGCUGUCGCUCGCCCGCAGCAGCUGCCGAAACCCCUCGCUAGUGACCUCUGCCGCAACGACCUAACGCCGCGACCCAUCGGCUCCCACAGCUCCGCCAAUCACCGUCGCCACGUCGUUGCUCACGACCCAGUAAGCCGAUGCCAAUCCGCGACGCCUGUGAUGCUCCUUGAUGCUCCGCUCGUCGCCCAACAGUCUCGCCGCGCCGUCUCCGCUUUGUCCGUCGAACCCCCUCACGGUUCUCUGCCUCUGCUUCAACGCCCGAUGCCAACAAUAGCUACGCCUGAAGUCAUUGCCCCGAAGACCAGCGACUGACGUCCCUACUUAACCCGACACCCUGCUGCCCAGAGCUGAAGCCCUACGACCCAACGUCCCUGACCGCCGCACCUCACGCCUAAAUGUUGCCCUCGUUGCCCACAUCGGACGUGCUGCUUGUCGUGCCCUCGUCGAAAACCCUUGCCGGAGCUCCAAAUCAACUAAGAUUUUUUUUUAGGUACAUUUAUUUUAUUUUAUUAGGAAGGUUUAUUUUAUUUUAUUGUUUUUUUUAUUUCUUGUUUUUUCUUACUUGAGAUAUUUCCCUAUGCAUAAUUAGAAAUUAUGACAUGCCACCUGAUUCGUAACCGUGGCUGAAUUUUAUAUUUCAUCUAUGAAGCCUUUGAUGAAAUAAAUAAUUAAAUGAGAAUAAGAUUGAUACUCUGAUCUUUAAGGCUUAAGAUCAAUUUAUCGAUUUUAUUAGCGAAAUAUUAUCCCUUGAUCUGAUCUUUGAUAAUUUUGAAUGGUUUGGCUUAUCUUGAUUGCUUUGUUUAUUUUGAAAUAUGUUUGAAUUAGAAUAUCGAAUGGUUUAGGAUUAUCUUGCAUGUUUAGGGUAGGAAUUUUAUUAUUUCGAAUUUUAAAAAAUAACAAUAAAAAUAAAAAAAUAUCAAAAAGAAAUCAAAUUGAUUUAUUUAGGUUGCUAGUUUUUUUUUUUAAAACUUGGAAUGCAUGUUUAAUUAUUUGGCAAUUAUUAAUUUCAAAAUUAAAAAAAAUGGGGGGAAAAAGGAAAAACAACAAAAAAUCAUCAUGCAUAUGUCAUGUAGAGUCAAGGUAUCUUUUUGUACGUCAUUGCAUAUUAGGGUAAAAUUGCACUUAGUUUAAUUCUAGAUAAUAUUUUUCUUAAUUUAUUAUAAGUUUAGAUAUUAGAUAGAUUGCAUUUUAGGAUUAUUUGGGUUAAGAUAAUAUUUUAGUUUAAAUUAGGAUUUGGCUUAACCUAAUUCUUAAUGCAAAUUAAAUAGAAUCUUAAUCUAGUUAGAUAAUUUUUCACAUUUUUCCUAAUUCCGAAUUUCAUGAAAAAUACAAAAAAAAUGUCUUAGAAUAAAUUAGUUCCAUUCUCUAGGAUAAAAUGCAUUUUUUAGAAAUAAAAAAAAAAUGUCAUGUAAAUGUCAUAUAGGAUUAGAUUCAUGAAAUGCACGUCAUUUAGAGAUUGUUAUUAGGUCCAUUUAAUUAGAAAUUGCAUGUCAUUAUAAUUAGGUCAUUUAGUAAUAUUGCACUGCAUAUUGCAUGAUUUUCAUUAAUUAAGUGAAAACAAAUAAAAGAAAUUGCGUGUUAAUUAGAAAUCAUAUCUAGAGUUGUAAUGUGGAUUCUAAUUUAACAUUGUAGAUGUUUUUGUUGCUUUGAGGUAAGUUUUGCAAUUUAUUCAUUAUUUAUCUGGGUGUUAAAUUGGUGGUUUGCGCACCCGCAUGAUCACCUCACAUGUUAGAGAAAUAGAUUUAAAAUCAAUUUAAGCUACCUACAAAAAAUAUUUUUGAAAAUAAAAGAAUGGUACCGAAAGGGUAUUAGAGAAAUCUGGUGUAACUAAGUCCCUGUACCCAUAGUCUCUGGUUCGUAGGAGUAAAGUAAAACUCACAUUACUUUACUUGGGUUUCUAAUCGACCCACCAAAAAAUAGAUUAGUGACGACUCCUAGAUAAAAUUUAUUUACAUGUUAAAAAACUUAAACUUAAGUUGCGAAUUGAUAUAGGCUUGGAAGAGCCCGAGUUAAGUCUAGGCUUAAUAAUCUAUUAGCCAAACCCUAGGUGGAUCACCCCCGAAAGUUUUGUCGCGACAGAUGUUAUAUCACUUUUUCUUUUUUUUAAGGAAUUAUCUGCCCCAUAACGUUGUUAAUGAUUACUGGCAAAUCUCAUUCAGAAUGCAAUAAAGCCUAGAUUGAAAAUACUAUAUAACAAUUCUAGUAUCUUUUGAGAGUCUCUUUAUGGAAACAAUUGAAAUGAUAUUUGUUGACACCUAAAUUUUGACGACCCUAAGGAAAUAAAAUAAAAAUCACAUCAAAACAAGAAAAAGGAAAAAAAAGGGGGGGUGGAAAUCGAUUUGAUUGAUUAUGCAUGGAAGUUUGAAAUUAUGAUGAAUAUUCAGAUUUUGAUAAAUGUAGAAGCAAUUAAAAAAUCAAGUAAACAAAGGGCAAUGAUUUCGAUAAAAUGGAAGAAAUCAAGCAAAAUCUAGCUGAUUACAAAAUCAUGCUUCGAUUUGCAGCCUUGAUUUAAUGCAACAAAAGAUGAAAAUUCGAGAGUUGCUAUAAGAAACGGCCAUUUGGAAAUCACUAUAAAAAGGGCCACAAUUUUCAUGACGAAAGGGGGGGAAGAAAAAAAUUGGAGAAAAAACGUGAGGGCCUUCCUUCGGUUUUAGGAAAGGAGAGAGAAAAAAAAAAGAGAGGAAAAGUGACCGGUCUGUAGUGAGGGAGAGAGAAGACCGGAGAGAGAGAGAGAGAGAGAGAGAAGAUAAAAAGAAAAGGGCCAUUGCAUCGUCUUCUUCACGAAGGGAGGGAGCCUUGACCAUGCCGGCCUCGCGCCUGCACCGGCCGCCGCGCUGAGACCACCUUUGCCAGCCACGUCCGACGCCUUGACACCUGUUGCCUCGCUGCUUCCCCCUGCGACGCCAGCAUCUCAGAUCCCCCAACCGCGAACCAACUACACCACCACUGCUUCAUCUUCUUGCAGCAACCGAAGCACGACCAGUGACGACUAUAGCAAACCAUCGCCCAGCAGCUUGCUAGCGCGCCGAAGCCCCAUUCAUCAUCUGCAGCAAUUCACCCGCGACGCCACAACUUGCGCUUUCGUCAGCAUUCGCCCCGUCUAUCUUGCAGCCGCACCGACUCGCAACCCACUACUACUCCUGAGAUCCCGGUGAAACCGCUACUGUCCCUGCUUCGUCAUUGAUCUGCUCGCUCCUCAGCCGCGACCCAAUGCUACCACAACCGUUGAACUGUUGGAUAUAUUAUUAAUAUAGUCUAAAAUAAUAUGUUCACAUACAAGCCCAAUAGGUAAAAGUAUGGUUAUUUGAAUCCAUAUGGGCUGGAGCUCAAUAACUUGCAUAUAAAAACUCUAGGGUUACCCUAUGCUAGAAGUAACACUAUUGAGCAUUUCAAACUUAAUGUCUCUCGGUGUAAUACUUCAAUCAACCUCUUCUUCUCUCUCAAACCUAUAACCUCCAACAAUCUUGAAGUAUUACGGUCGUGUGUUGGAUUUGAGCGAGUAAGGUGUCUUCUUGAAGAUUUCGUUAAGACGAAUUCACAAGUGUAAUUUACUUUCGAUUUCGAUGGUGUUAUUGGCCGGGAUAUGAGUUUGAAGAUUCGGGUGACCGAAAUAUUUGAUUCAAAAAUCCAAAAACAUUAUAGCUAAUUUUAGAGAGUGAAACCACUUGGGCUUUAUUCUACUCAUUGAUACGAACGUUUUGAGUGAUCACUCACGUCAAUCGGAGGUCAGAAGUUACGGCACCCGGAAGUUUCAAUUUGAAUUUCUAGUGAAUUUCAGGGACGAAAUUUCUGCGAAUUUUGGUGGCAGAAAUUUCCAGCGAGUUUCAUUGACAAGGGCAGUCCAUUUUAAUGUUUUUGGGUGCUCCAGAUUUGUUUUUGGGGUUUGUUUUGGUAAAUUCCAUCUCUACAAAGCAAUUUAAUCAAGGUUAAGGGAGUUAUUCGACUUUGUGCCUCCAAGGACUCUAAGGUGCACUCUUUCUAACACUUUGCUCUGAUUAAAAUGGCAAAGCGUAGUUCCUAUGAUAUUAUAAAGUUACAAUCAUUUGAUGUUACUGAAUUUCAUGGCUGGAAAUUACAUGUUCAAUUCUGCAUGAAAGAACGUGACAUAUUCUACACUGUAUUAAGUGAUUUUGCAUCUACCACUGAAGAUGUAGAUAAAUAUUAAUGGAAAAAUGAUGAUGAUUUUUGUAGAGAUUACUUGUUGAACUCUCUAAAUCCUAAUCUGGCUAUGACUUAUAGUGAGUAUAAAACAACAAAAGAGAUAUGGGAUCACUUGAAUGCUUAGUUCCAAAAACAAGAGGAGCUCUCUAAAACUCUCUUAGCGGAGAAAUUCUUUGACUUUAAAUUCACUAUGAAUUCAAGCAUUACCUCUCAGUUAGUUGAAUUUGAGAACAUGAGGAACAAGCUAAAAGAUGAUAACUCUGAUAUGUCCGAUAAUCUCUUUGCCAGUCUUGUGUUGAGCAAACUACCAACUAAAUGGAGUUCUUUCAAGACUGAAAUGCACAGAGUGAAGGUACAGAUGAGAUUGGAUGAAUUAAAGAAGUAUAUUCACAUUGAGGAUCAAAAUAUUAUUAGGAAGAGUUUGGAACAAGUGGGACAACAAAAGUUUGUUGCCAACUUAGUUUCACACUCCAAUAAACCUCAGAAAAAGUUCAAGUCACCAAAAGGUAAAUCAUCUUUACAAUUAGAGGCCAAAAAGACUAUCUUCAAAAAGAAGAAGAAUGACAAGUGCCAUAACUGUGGAAAGUGGGGUCAUUGGGCAGCAUAGUGUAAGUUGCCGAAGAAGCCAACAAAUGACACACCACAAAAUGAGGCCAAUAUGCUAAUUAGAGGAUCUGAGCCUCAAGCCUUCAUUGAAAUGAUGAAGAAUGGAAAGGCCAGCGUCUCUUCGGAGUGGUGGUUGGAUAGUGGCGCUACUUGUCAUGCUACAAAUGACAAAAACUUACUUUGGUCACAGAAAUGCAAGACACUGUGGAAAAUUGCAAUGGUGGUGAGGCGAAGGUGACUCAUGCUAGAACUAUAAAUUUGGUGCUUUCUUCAGAUUGUCGCACUCUAAGUUGUCUGUGACACCUUAUGAGAUAUGGCAUAAGCGCCCUUGUAGAUAUGAUACUCUUAAGACUUGGGGUUGUAUUUCUUAUGUAAGCAUACCAUAUCCUAAGAAACCUAAGAUGAGAUCUAGAACCAUUACUUGUGUAUAUCUAGGUAGUGUAGAAGAUAGUGCUGCAAAUAGAUUUUUAGAUCUAUCUACUAACACAGUAAUAGAAUCUAGAGAUGUAGUAUUCUUCGAAAACAAGUUUCUCAGAGAUCAAGGCUUGAAUGUUUCUGAAUCUACAGAUAUGAUUUCAGAAUCUCCUAUAGAAUCUGAAGCAAGCCCUUCUAACACUAACUCUAUACAGUUGGCUAUUAAACUAAUUCCAGUUAAAGUAUUUACAAGAGAGAGAAUUCUCAAAAGUUUUGGUAAGGACUUUGUUGCUUACUAUCUUAAGGAUGAUCCAUUCUCCUAUCAAGAAGAAAUGAGAUCUAAGGAAUCUCUACUAUGGGAAGAAGCCAUAGAUGAUGAAAUGAGCUCUCUACUACAGAUUCACACUUGGCAACUAGUAAAUUUGCCAAAGGGGGCUAAAGCUAUAGGUUGUAAAUGGGUAUUUAAGAAGAAAUUGAAUGGUGAUGGAUCAAUAGCCAGAUACAAAGCACGUUUAGUAGCUAAAGGCUAUAAACAACAGAGUGGAAUAAACUAUUGUAAUGUCUAUUCACAUGUGUGUCAUCUAUCAACUAUAAGAAUUCUUCUUGCUUUGGCAUCUACUGAAUACUUUGUAGUGUAUCAAAUGGAUAUAAAAACAAAUUUCUUUAAUGAGGAUUUAAAUAAAGAAAUUUACAUGGAAUAACCGGAAGGAUAUAUUAUGAAAGGUCUUGAAGACAAAGUUUGUAAAUUGAAUAAAUCCUUAUAUGGGCUUAAAAAAGCAGCUAACAUGUGGCAUCUUAAAUUUGACAAAGUGGUAACGAGUUAUGGCUUUCAGUCUAGUUAUUUAGAUAAAUGCAUUUACCAUCGUUCUAUGUCAAAUAAGAUAGUCAUCAUUUGCUUGUAUGUUGAUGAUAUGUUAAUUCUUGGUUCCGAUCAUUCUGUAGUAAGUGACAUGAAAGAUCUUGGUAUUGCUAAUAUCAUUCUUGGUAUGAAAGUAAGCUUUAAAUGGUAAGUCAACUCCCUUAGCUAGACUCAUUAUAUUGAGCAGCUACUUUCUACUUGGGGAUACGAUAAGUGUAAACCGAGUGAGACACUAUGUGAUUAUAAUAACAAAUUGAGUCCUAAUGAAGGGACCAACGUGAAUCAGUUAAAAUACUCAAAACUGCUUGAUAAUCCCAUGUAUGUUAUGAGUUGCGCUAGACCCGACAUACCCUUUACAGUUGGUAUGCUGAGCCAUUUUACUAGUAAUCCUAGUAAAUAGCAUUGGAAUGCCCUCGAGAGGCUAAUGAGAUACCUUAAAUGUACUAAAGAUUAUGGUCUAUAUUAUUCUGGUUAUCCUCCAACUGUGGAUGGAUAUUAUGAUGCCCCAUGGUGCUAAGAAAUUGGAAAUAGUAAGUCCACUAGUGGAUAUGUAUUCACUUUGGGUGGAGCUGCUAUUACUUGGAAAUCCAAACGACAGACUUGUAUUGCAUUGUCGUCUAUGGAAUUGGAACUUUUUGCUUUAGCCUCAGCCGAUGAAGAGGCAGAGUGGAUAAAGAAUCUGAUUAUGGAUAUUCCUUUGACUCGGCUAAAGAUUAAUUCUUUAAACCUAUUCUGUGGUAAUCGAGCAACUGUCCAAGUCGUCAAGAAUGCUCACUUUAAUUCAAAGAGAAGACAUGUGAGACUGAGACAUGCGUUGUUGAAUUAUCUGAGAGAACAAAGGAUUAUCACCUUGAUCGAUGUGAGAUCGAAGGAUAACAUAGUCAAUACUCUCACCAAAGGUAUGCUUAAAGAUCGAUUAUUCAAAACUGUGGGGGGACUAGGGUUAAAGACUAUAUAGACAAGUCUUAACUACCAUUUACUUACCUUCUAAUUGUGUGUUUUAAAUUAUCGAAUCUUUCUUUAUUGGCUACAAUGAUAAGCACAAUUUAUAUGUUUCAUCGAUGUUCACAGUUGCUGACUAAUUUGAAGAGUGUGAAUUGUCUCAUUCCAAACUUGAUGAAUAUGACUUUAACCUAAUUCAAAUGUUCUAUCAGGGAAAUUUGUGUCAGUCCAAACUUGAUGAUACAAUUCAACUAGGUUAGACUAUCAUUUUUGGUUAAAUGAUCUCAUUCCAAACUUGAUGCUAGAUUAUUUGACUUUAAGGAAUCAAUAACUGUGCAUUCCAAAUUGAAACAUAGAAACAAUUGUUUUCAUAAAAAGCCUGCUGGUCUUGUUCUUAAUUGAAACUUGAUAUUACAUUACUAGGUUAUUGUAGGUGACUUGACUAUUGGUCAUGUUCUUUGAAACUAGACAAUAGUUAUUCUCCUACAAAUAAACUUAAGUUGAUGGCUCUUUGUAAAUCACAUUGUUUAGGUCUUGUUCAUAAUAUAUGAAACUUGAUUGAUGCUUAUGAACAUGAUAUUAUAAUUCUUUAUGACAUCAAUAUAUGUUCUUCUAUAAUAUGUUGCUAAGUUUUUAUUCAAAUGAUUGAAUUCAUGAUAAUAUGAAAUUCAUAUUUGACAUACUACAGGGGAUGGCAGAGAUGGAGGAGAGCUUAGUGAGUGGGAUCCUGACCAGGAUGACCUACUUGAUGAAUGAAUAUAUAUCAUUUAGAGCGUGUGGGGACUUGAUAGUUUACCUGGUACUGCCUAUUAUAGUGGAGUCCAUUUAUUUGAGACUUGCAUUUUGUUAUUUCUAUUCUGUGAACAUUAUUUUUUAUAUUUGUAAGGCCUUGGACUAUUUUGACUGGCCUACUUAUACUUACUUGACUAAUAUGCAUAUGUUAGUUGUGAACUAAGUCUGAGAUUUAUUUUGAGUGUUAGGAUUUGGAUGAGUGUAGACUGAAUCUAAAACUCAUAAUACUUAUUUUGAUUUGUUGAUCUCAUAACAGAUUCAUGGUAAGAAUGAGUAAAUGAUGAUUUAGUUUAAUACUUUACUGCCGAAAUACUUUUUGACUGAUCCGAGUUGAAUGUCUUGGACUGAAUGUUGAUGAUUCAUGUUUGUUUGAACAUUACACUGAUUACCUUAUUGGAUUGUGUUGUAUGGUGAACAUAGGAGGAGAUUGUUGGAUAUAUUAUUAAUAUAGUCCAAAAUAAUAUGCUUACAUACAAGCCCAAUAGGUAAAAGUAUGGUUAUUUGAGUCCAUAUGGACCGAAGCCCAAUAACUUGCAUAUAAAAACUCUAAGGUUUCCCUACGCUGGAGGUAACACUGUUGAGCAUUCCAAACUUUACGUCUCUUGGUGUAAUAUUUCAAGCAACCGCUUCUUCUCUCUCAAACCUAUAACCUCCAACACAAAUUGAUGUUGCCCUGCUUAGCUGUUUACGACCGCCCAGCGCCGACUUGCCUUUGCUCCACCUCAGCCGCAACCCUAUGCCCCUACUCGUUGAACGCCACAUUGUCGUUCCUCUAGUUACCAUCGCGUUCCGCCUCACCUGCAACUCGCGAGAUCUCGACAAAGCUGCUACUGCACCACUCAGUCCGUGAUCUGCUCGCCCAGCUGUGCUGCAAUGACCUGAAGCUCUGCCGCUCACCACCCAUCCGCUUCCACCGACUAUUCCCUUCUGAAGCGACACUCGCUCUGACUAGUGUCCCUGCCGUCGGGUUGCCAAUCCCACCGGUUCAUCCUCACCGGAGCUCCAACCCCUUACACCGCGUCUCCCUUGCCCGUGUCAACGCUGCUACUCUCCCUCCAUUAUGUGGCUUAUUUUUAUUUUAUUUUUCCUUUAUUUUAGGUUUUUUUUUUUUUUUAGUUUCAAUAUUAUUGUUCAGGAAUGUGAUUUUCAUUUUAUGCAUAUUCUAGACAUUAUCCAUAGGGGUUUUGCCCAAAAUUAUUAUAAUUAUCAAUUUGAUCCGUAAGACAUCGGAUUUUUUUUUUAAUUAUAUUAAUUUUUGGGUAUUUUGAUAGUAUUUUAAUUGUUAAAUCAGUAUAGUUAUUAAUUUGAUAUGUAAGGCUUUGGAUCAUAUUUUUGAUUAUUUUGAACUUUUUUUCAUGAUGUUUAGGGUUAGAGUAAUCAUUAAUUUAACCUGUGAGACAACACGUUAUUUUUUUUUUCGAUUAUGUUAAUCAUUUAUUUGGUGGAUAUCUUGAUUAGUUUAGAUGUAAUUUCAUAAUUUCUUGUCUUGGAAAAGCACUAAAAAACAUAAAAAUCAAAAAAUCAAAUCUUGCAUCGGAGUGUGUUAGUAAAUUAGGAUUGCAUUUUUUAGGAUUCCACUUUUAGAUAAUUUUUGGAAUAAAUUAGGAUUGAUUUUUUUUUAGAUAAGACUCUUAAAUAAUGUUUGCACAUUUUUAGAUAACCUCAUUUUUCUUUAAAAAUAGUUUUCUAAGAUAAGAUAGGGUUUAAGUCAAAUUAAUCCCUAAAACAUAUUAGAAAAUUAUUCAUUUUAGAUAGUUUAAUUAAGGUUUUUAUUAAUCCCAAAUUUAAUAAGAAAAAUACAAAAAAUUAGGUGCAUGUAAAUUAGUUUGCAUGUUAGGUUAAUUUAAUUAGAAAUAGUUUGUUAGUAAAAUUAGGUCAUAUAGUUUAAAUGCAUGAUUUAUGAUAAAGUUCUAUUUAAAAGAAAAAUCCAAAAAAAUAUUUGCUUUAGUGUGUGGAAUUCAUUUGGUGCAAUUUAUUUUAUUCAAUGUUUAAUAAUGAUUGAACAUCUGUGUGAUCACCCCAUUGCAAGAUAGUAAUUUAGGUUAAAAUAAAUCCAAGCUGCCUGUAAAAAUAUUUUUGAAAAUAAAAAGAAAUGGUACCGAAAGGGCAUUAGAGAAAUCUACUGUAACCAAGUCCCCGUACCCCUAGUCUCUAGUUCGUAGGAGUAAAAUAAUUCUCCCAUUAUUUUACUUAGGUGCCUAAUCGACCUACCGUAAACCGAUUAAUGGUGACUCCUAGAUAAUAAUCAUUUGCAUGUUAAAUAUUUGAACCUUAAGUCACAAAUUGGUAUGGGCUUGGGAGAGCCCAAGCUAAGUUUAGGCUUAGUAAUCAUUAGCCUAAUUUUAGGUGGUGCACCUGAAAUUUAGGUCACAACAGUAUUUGUAUUUUUAAAAAGAAAACUCAAAACUACUUUUUUUUUUGGUAAAAGGUAAUAAAUAUACUGAGGAAAGACCAAAUGUAUAAAAGAUUACGGCACCAAAAACUUACACUCAAAAUGAGAAAACAUUAUUAGUGGAAGGAUGUCGAGAUGUAAAACUAGAACAUGUGGCAAACCAAACCAAGGAAGCCGAAAAAAAAAAACAAAAGACAAGCAUGGCAUGAACAAUCGGCUACCGGAAAACAAGAAACCUCGACCAGCUAAACUUGGGGAGGCGAUUAAGGGUCUCCAGAGAAAAUAAUUAGGUCAAAGCCCCAGCUCCACUGCAACCUUUGUUCCUAAAGUUAUCAUCAACGUUCCUAAAGGUGAUAGCCUUAUCUCUGACCACUUUAAAAAGAUGGUUCUUCAUAGCCGGAAUGGUAAGAGGCUAAUCACUAAAAAAAGACUUGAUUAUGAUUGAUACUAAAAACAGACAUAGUCGUCUUAGUCUUUUGAACAAAGGCAACCUUUCGGAAAAGUUACAGAAUAAACAAGUACGUUUUCAAAAGUUACAUUAAAAAGACAUGAAAAACUCAAAAUGUAUGAAUAAUGAAUAAAAAAUAGCCGUAACUUAUUUGUGAAUAGUGGCACUAUUUUAAUGGAACGCUAUGGUUAAUUUUAAAAUUAAAAAUCUGAAUUUUUUAAUAUAAAAUAAUGAUAGUUGAUUAAUGUCAAAUUUUGUCCAUGUGUGCACUUACAUCUUUUUGAUGUGGGACAAAACACUUCUUAGUUUGUUUUACAAACAAACUACCAAUAGUGGAGCCUUAUGUGGUGCACAUAUAAAUUAGGCGGUUUGCACACAUACUUGUAAGACAUUCUUCCAAACUACAAUGAGCUUUCUUUUAAAUUAUUCAUAUGAUUUUAGAUAAUAUCUUAAAGUCUUAGGCAAUUUCAUAUCCUUUUUUUGAUUAUUUGAUUAGAUUUUUAGGUAAUAUCUCAAGAGAUUUUCUACACUUUGUGAAUGGUUCUCUGAUUAUAUAUGAUCAAUGUUUCUUUAGGAUUUUAUGGCUUUUAAUUCAGAUUUCUAUUAUUCUCAUAUGUAAGACCGUUUUUUAAUGAAUUUCAGAAUAUAUUAAGAGAGGUUUUAUCAAAUUACUCAUAUGAACUUUUAUCAUGUUAUUGUAGACCAUUUAAAGAGUUUCUUAUCUUAAAGAAAAAAGAAAUUCGUAAUGCUUGAUAUGAAGUAAGAGAAAAGGCGACAAAAUGGGCAAGACGAGCCACCCCUAUUGACCCAUGCCCUAGGAAAAGUUGUUGUCUCAUUCAUCCGAGGGCAUCUUUACACCUUUAGAACUAUCAAAUCUACUUUGACUUCUGAGGUACGAGAAUCAUCCUGGAAAUGGGUGUUUUGUUACCUAACUUAUUUUUCAUUAUUUUGGCCAAUAUUUGUUACCUAACUUGACUGUUCCUUAAAACAUUCAAUGGGCACACGUCCAUUACUAGAUUGAGUGUCAUGCACAUCUAGUACAGUUCAAUGUUUCGUGGAGGUCAUGCACAUCUAGUACAGUUCAAUGUUUCGUGGAAAAUUGGACAACAAUCCUCAUCUAAUGCAAUAUGUAUCUAUCGUUAAGGACUUAUCAACAAUGUCGGCUUGCUCUUUGUAAGUAACUUAAGAUACUCACUCUUUGUUUUGGUGUAUAUGUGUGCCAACACAACACCUAAACAUGAGACCAAAUUAACUUAAUUUCGUAACUAAAUUGAAGGUAAUCUCACAUGCUUGAGGGCUCUUGAGCUCUUAAUUAAUCUACAUGAUAGUUAAUGAGGUUGAUUCCCUAACCCCGAGGCCUUUUUUUUUUAUAAUAAAUCAUGGGCACUAGCAUAGAAAUCCGGCUAUUUGAAGGCCCCUAUAACACUUUGCAAAACGUGUCAAAGAAUCAUUUAAGUUCAGACCUUUACCCUAUGUAAGCGAACCUAAUUUAGAGCCAUUUGUGCGUAAUUAGUGGGAUAUGAUCAUAUUACCCUUUAAUUCCUAAGUUGGUAAUUCCUGAUGCUACAAUCAACUACACCAACCUUAGUAGUUGAGGCCUAUUAUUGUCGAUGUACAGUCAACCACACUCAUCCAUUUAGGUCACAUCACUUAGAUCAUGGGGCCAUGGGUUGUUAGUUCAUUACAAACUUUUGUGCCCGUCGUCGUCAGUACAAACUAAAUAAGAAAUGGAUUAUAUUUAUCUCUAUUGAUGAAAGAGAGUAACUUUCCCCAAUUGGAUUUUUAAUUCGUGGGUUUCUAACAAAAAUAUCAUCUAUAUUUAUGUUUAGCUCAAUGUGGACCACAACAAACUUUAUGAAGAUGAUAAUAAGUGGAUGAAACCAUUCGCAUUACAUCUAUUAGAAUGCGCUUUUUUUUUCUUUUUUUUUUUGUGGACCAUCUAUUUGAAUGUACCGUCCGUGAAGAGGUUCAGAAUCCAAGGCAUUGUUUCCAUGAAGCUGGGAAAGAAUUUGUCUAUACAGGUGUAGGCCCCCUCCUGAUAUAUUUGACUCUUUUCUUGAGUACAAAGUAGGUCAUGAGAGCUCACUAGCGAAUGCAACAUAAAGUAGAUCCCCUUUGACCAAGUGAAAGCAUAUUCUCAAAUUAGGCACUUAAACUUUGGACAUUGAGGAUUUGACUUCUGAGAGUGACUGUAAAAAAAAAAAAAAUGUAAAUCAUGCAAGCAAUUGAUAUUUUUGUGUGGUUAGAUGUGAGGUGAGAAUGACAACAUGAAAAGCAAGAAAUGAUGGAGAUAGAGCAUUACAUCUCACGUGACAUCGUUUUGUCGCAUGAUUCGCAUUUACGUAGUAAAAUUUUGGCCCGAAUCUUUACUUCUUUUACUUUUCCCUUUGGCCAAAUUCAACUUCUUCUGACAUACUCGAUAUAUAUUAGAAUAGUCCUCGAGAUUAUCAAACUUCUGCACUCAUAACAUUGGAUUAAUAAGAAAAAUAGGAAAAUAAAAGGAUGGCAAGUCUUGGCAUAAAGACAAUUUCUUUGAACGUCCACGGCUUAUCAUUUAAAAAUCUUCAAUACUCAAGUCCUACGAUCGGAUUCGAUAUCGAAAUUAAUGCGAUACUGUGGGAAAUGUGGAUUACAGAAUUAACAACAUCAGACAUAAUAUGUCACACACAAAGAAGUAAAAAUGCAUACAAACUCUUUAAUAAUUCUAGAGAUAUAUAAGAGUUACACAUUAAAUGGGUUUACUAAAUGAUAUGGCAAAGAGCAAGUGGUCAUUUAAGUUAGCUCCCGAUAAAGAUGUAGCAAUAUCAUUAGAUAAACUCUUUUAGCAUCUAAAAUCUCAACAUGAGGUCAAGUGGAAAUGGAGCAAACCCGUAACCAUGAUCGAUCACAUCAUGCAAAAGUGAUGUCGCCAGAGAGUGUCGACAAGCGUAUUCAUGCACUCUCUUGCUUUCCUCCCUCCAUAUCCUUGAACUUGGACUUUGUGAUGUUUCAGUAAGGGAAAAGGAAAGUUGGGAACUACUCAGAUUCAUUCGUUCGGAAUGUACCAAACCACCUUAUUUCAGUGACCCACUGAAGAAAAGGGAGCAACAACUUGGAAUUGCACCACGUGGAUGUCUAAGAACAAGCCUCCAUCCCCGAAGUCAUCGGCUACUAUCAAAAGCGACACCCACUUUAUGCGUCGGUAUUAUAAAUAAAGCAUCAAAGAGAUCAGUCUCUCCACGCAAUUUGUACUUGCGGAGUGCAUAAUCCAGGAAAAAUAUGGCUAAGAAUUCGCAGUCUCGUGGUUUAGCAGCUCUUCUUCUCCCUCUCCUAUUGUUGGGCUCGGUGAUCUCCAAGACAGAAGCCAUUAGGCCAUUGGAGGGUGCGGAAUUGCCCCGUGCUUUGGUGAGCAUGGAUCACCUUUUCCGAAAGAAAACGGCCGUCAGAAUGAAGUUAAAUGAUGGCCCGAGUCCUGAAGGUCCCGGGCACAGGUACAAGGCCUCGUGGCUCACUGGUCAAAGCGACGAGAACCGUUUGAGCCCCAACGUGGAGCACAAAUAGCUGCGAUCCGCCAUUUCCUAAAGUCGUUUAAGGGUUUAUAUGCAAUCAGUAGAUCUAGAUAUUUGGAUUCGGUAGAUCUAGCAUGCGACUCGAUUGAAUUCAGACCUACGGGGUUCAUAGAUGAGUUAUUAAAGUAUUGCACAUCUUUUAUUUCGAAAUGUUAGUCGUUUGAUCUACCGAGAGUUACCGAGCAUUGAAACACUCAUCCAGGGCACACCAGGGAAUCCCUUUUUAAUCUUUGUUCCUUAGAGUGGUAAUGUUUACACACGAGCUACUCUAAUUGUCAUAGUGUACUUUGGCUUUAUGGUUCUCCUCGAUUAUGUUAUAAGUACACACUUAUUGCGUGUUAACACAGAUGAAAUACUCCUCUAUUUUCUUUUUAUGUUUUUAUUUACUUCUUUCUUGUUUUUCAACUUUGGGAAUUGCCUUUGUUGCCAAUGACUAUGCGAGUCGAUUGACUCCAUACAAAUCGUACGAGUUGAGCCACAGGCGAACAAAACACAACGCCUCAUCAGUCAACGAUAAUUUAUGGGCAUCGCAAUCCUUACCUUUCUUUCCAUUUUUGUCAAAUUAAGUUUAUGCAUCAUCUUUUUUAGUACUAAUAAUGACACCGGCUCCAUUUGUUUUAUGAAAAAUAUAUGAAUUGAAAGAUAUUUUCCUAAAAUUGAUCAUUUAUAUCUCUUUAAAAAAUGAAUAAUCGAAAAAUAUUUUCAUUGUCCAUAAAAAUGUUUAAAUAUAAAUUAUUAUCAAUAAUGAAAACAUUAAAAUGUCCCAAGAAGAAAAUGAUCCUAUUUGACCGUUGUGCAUUGCUAACAUCAGAAAAUGGAAUAACCUGGAAUCUCAGUAACUAGCCGAGCUGCUAAAGUAGCUAAAGUAGUGACAAAUACCAUCAGUAAAAUAUGUCCAAAAGAAAGUUCAUCUAUUCUCGAUCUCUAGUUUUUCAUUGGCUAAUUCUUUUAAGCAGUACAAUGAAUUAUCUAAGGAAAAUAUUUUCCAAAUCAUUUAUUUUUUGUAAAAUAAAUUGUCUUCAUGUGCGCGCAAAUGAAAGGUAUUGGAGAACUAUUAUUAUAGACAUAAGUUGACUACACACGAAAUUAAUGUGCUGAUACAAUAUGUCUAAUUGGAGGAAGAAGAGGGAUUACAAGUGGCUUGAGAAAUACCAUUUAUUAACAACAAAGACCAUUUACUUCAAAACGCGAAGGAACGUGUAUGUUCAAACUUACUGUCUCAAAAAGAUUGGUUCUUCAUGCAAAAAUGAGGGUAUAUAAUAUUGACUGUUGAUAUGCAUUUAUUACUUAGAUCAGACAAAGAAGAGGAAAUACAAGUUGCACGAUAAAUGUAUGAAAAAAAAUGUGUCGUUCAAGUCAAAAUGAUACGCUCCAUAAGCACCUACUAAUUAUAUAGCCGAUAACUCACAGAUAAUAAUUGGUUAUACAAGAAACAAUUCGACAUCCACAUUGUCAUUGACUAACACCUUUUAAGUCCGUAAACUCUCAUUAAACAUGAUAUGUGUGUACAAUUAGUGAAUUUGGUAUUGACAUUGUAUAUAGGGUUGAGCGGUUUUAGAUUUCUCAUAGGUUUCACUUGGAACCUAUAACAUAUCCUUGAGAACAGAUUUCUCAUUUUUUUGGGAACCUGAUCCUACUCGUUGAAAUAUAGAACCCAAAACGCACCCUAUCACAAGUUCCGAAAUCGGUUCUAGGAUCCAAUAGGUUCUUCUUCUUCUUCUUUUUCUUUUUUAGUUAAAGCAAAUGAAAAUGAAUGCAAAAAUAAUGAAUAAGCUUGUCAUUCAUCAAAGAAUACAAGACAAACAAAUUUAUCAACAAAGGAAACGGAAUUCUUGGCAAGGAAUUCAAUUAGAUAAAAGACAAGAAAUGGAACAAAAUUCAAUAGACUUCAUUGUUGAUUAGGGAUGAGUGAUUUCAAGUUCCAUACAGUACCUACCCAUUUUAACAAAUUCUUUAUUUUUUGAAACCCGAACCUACUCCGUCAAGGUCUACCUAUGUUCUACCUAUAUUAUCAAUUGACCAAUUGCCGUACAUUAAAAUCUUUAAUGACUACCACUUACGGUUACAAUUUACUGACCAAAACUUAUAUUUAAACACAUAAAAAAUAUGAACAUUAAUAAAGUAAAAGUCUUAAUCAUAAAAUGGGAACUCAAACUAGUGCUUAAUUAUGCAUUCAUCAUUGAACGACAUGAAAUAUCACAAUAUCACGUGAAGACAUGGAUCAAGAAAACUAUUAAAAUUUGUUGUAGAUUCCAGGUUCCAAGUUUCAGGUUCUAAGUUCCUCUAAUCAAGAACCUAGAACUUACCCGUCGAAAUAGAUUUCUCAUUUUUUGGAACUUAGAACCUAUCUUCCAUACCUUGGAACCUUGAACUUACAAGCUCCCAAUGGUCCGAUCUUUAGUUCUAGGUUCUACCUUGAAAUCAUGCUCACCCUUAAUUAUAUUGUUGCGAAAAGAAAUGUAUGUUUAGGCAAAUAUGAAAGAUGUUCUAUUUUAUUUAUAGUUUUAAAAAUUAAAUGUUGUGUCUAGAUUAGAUGUGCCGUUUCAUAAUAAUAAAGGGUAAUUUUGAUUUGAGGAUAGUGACACAAAUAGUCCCUAAACCAUGGUCCAAUAUGUAAUGCGGGCCUUGAACUUUUAAUUUGUUCAAUGCGAUCCAUAAACUUUAACCUAAUGUGUGACAUCCUGAAUUUCAAGUUUUGCUUUCGACGGAUUGAGUUGGGUUUUUCAUCAACAUGUGUUGACACCAAAAUUUUGACGACCCUAAGGAAAUAAAAUAAAAAUCGCAUCAAAACAAGAAAAAAAGGAAAAAAUGAGGAAAAUCAAUCUGAUUGAUAAUGCAUGGAAAUUGGAAAUUUUGAUAAAUAUUCAGAUUUUGAUAAAUGCGGAAGCAAUUAGGAGAUCAGGUGAGUGAAAACCAAGAAUUUUUAUAAAAUGGAAGGAAUCGGAGCAAAAUCAAGCUGAUUGCGAAAUCACGCUCCAAUUUAUAGUCAUGAUUUAAUACAACAGAAGAUUUAAACUCAAAAAUUGCCACGGAAAGCAACGGUCUGAAAUCACUAUAAAAUUUUUGUGACUAGGGGGAAUUAAAAAAAAAAAACAUCGUGAAAAGAAUUCAUGCAAAGAAGUGCAGAGAAAAGCGUGAGGGAGGGAAUUCGAAAAUAGCAGGAGAGAGAAAAAAAAAAAGAGACAAGCCUCUUCCGUUCAUUUUCAAGUCAAUAGAAAGCACUCUUUCUUUUCUUCUGACAAGCUGUGUUGACGCCUAAAAUUAGUUAGGUUUUAUUUAGCUUCAUUUAACUUUAUUUUAUUUUAUUUUAUCUUUUUCGGAUAAUAAAUAAGCAAAUAAUGAAAAAAAAAACAGAAAAAGCAGCCUCCGCAUGGGCCUUCGGCCCAUCUCCGCCUCGGCCCAGCCCGAGCGAGUCUUCUUCCUCCCUGCGCCACUGCAACGCACGCGCGGGCAGGCGCGACGCCAGAGGGAGAUGGAUGGACGGCAGCGCACGUGAAGCAGAGGAGCAGUUGGCGUCGACAGGACGUGACCGGAGGGGGAGAUGAUGGCAGAUGGGACGUCGGUUCGGCCAGCGGAGGUCGUUCAGCGCGCAGGAACCGGCGGUCGAAGCUCCGUCGACCGACCGCCCCCCUCGCCUAUAAAUAGGGCUCCCCUGACAACGGUAAUGAGGACGCCGAGAAGGAUCGAAGGCUGCAGAUCCUCGAAAUCUCCCACUGAGAGACUUCAGACGGGGGGCCGAGGACGAGCAGGCCGAGAUCCAAGAACUCGCGGCCGGACACGAGGGGGAGAGAUCCGAGUGGGUGGAGGCUGAGCACAGAGAUCCCGGAGAGAGAGAGACGGAGCCAGAUCGAGUCGCAGCCCUUGGACACCCCACUGAGAGACUUUAGGGGGGCCGAGGGUUCGCAGCCUCAGAUCUGAGCCUCGCCGGAGGGGGAAAGUAGAGAGAGAAGCGCAGGAGGGGAAGGGAUUUGCGUGGGUCUCACUGUCGCGGUCUUCGCUCUUGUCGCGCCGUCGCCGAGCAGGUAUCGCGCCGUCACCAUCGCCAUCACCCCCUGUAGUCCAAUCGUCGUCGUCGUCUGCGUCGCUGCCCUCAUCGCCGUCGCCGUCGCCGCCGCCACCGCUGCACCUCAGCCUUCCCCUCUUCGGCGCCGCGAAUUGAGAACCCUAGGGUUUGCAUUUUUUUCGGGUUGCGGCCUCGGGUCAUCGGAUCGGACCCGGGCUGCGAACCGGGUAGGGUUUAGAGUGGGGGCUGCGACUCGGGUUGGAAGUCGGGUCGGACCCGGGUAGGGUUUCGCUAGGAAUCUCGGGUCGUCGGGUCGGACCCAGGUAGGGUUUCGCUAGGAAUCUCGGGUCGUCGGGCCGGGCCGGGCAUCCCCAAACGUCCAGCCACGGCGUCGUUUUAAUAUUUUUUUUUUUAAAAAAAAUAUGAAAAAAUCCGAGUCGGGCCCGCAACGCGGGCCCGUCCGUGUUUGGGUCGCCAGCCCGGGUCGGACCCAACCCGCGGAUCCGACCCGGGUUGGUUUUAUUUUGUUUUAUUAUUUUAAUAUAAAAUAAUAUUCUAAUAAAUAAUAAAUAAAUAAUUUAUUUAAAAAAAAUCAAAAAUGUUUUAAUUUCCAGAAAAUCAAAAAAUAUUUAAAAAUGUUGAAAAAUGUUUUAUUUUUUAAAAAAUCGAGAAAAAUGAAAAAUAAUUUAUUUUCCGAAAAUAUUUUAUUUUCCAAAAAAUAAAAAAAAUCAAAAAAAUUUCAUAUUUUCCAAAAUAUGCCAAAAAUCCAAAAAAAGCCAAAAAUUCAUGAAAAAGCCAAAAAAAAUUUAGAAAAGCCAAAAAAACUUGUAUUUUUCCAAAAAAUACCAAAAAAUCCGAAAAAAAAUCCCUUUUGUGUCCAAAAAUUAGAAAAUGACUCAAAAAAUGUUUUUCCUCCCAAAAAUGCAUGGAAAAUCCCUCGAACAUCCAAAAAACCUUAGGGUUUAAACAAGAUUAGGUACCGAAAGGGUAUUAGUGAUUAACUAGUGUAAUCAAGUCUCCGAUCCUAAUUUCUCUGGUUGCGCAGGAGUGAGUAUUUCUCCCGAUACUUCACUUGGGUUUCUAAUCAACCCACCCCAAAUCGAUUAGUGGCGACUCCAAUUUAAAAAUUAAUUUACAGGUUAAAAACUCAGACCAUUAAGUAGUGAAUUGGUGGACUUGGGAGAAUCCGGGCUUAAUAAAUUCAGUCGAACCAUUAGCCUCUUUAGGCGCUCGUACCCGAUUGCGGGCGCCGAAAAAAGAGAGGUCGCGACAGCUUGGCGACUCCGCUGGGGACUUUGAGGACUUAGGCAUUUUAUCUUUGUUUAAAUGCUUUGCUGACUUGGUUUUUUUUCUUUUAUGCAGGGUAAUAGCUUAAAGUUUUUUUAUUCUGUUAAAAUAAAAUGUUUUUGUGAUUAUAAACUGUUGUGCAUGCUUUAUUGUUUUAAACACUACACAUGGCACACACAACCCGGCCGCCGGACCUGGGCCGCCAUAGGAAUUCUAGGAUGGUGUUAAAAAAUAUACGACCUCGAACGCGAGACUGCGAUGUAGAGGUUGCCUUUCUUUUCCCCGAAUUUCUUAGCCAAGGUUAAGGGGGUAUGCUGCUAACGCGAGACUACGACGGGCAGAUACCUUUUUAAUUUCAUCAAGCCUUCUGAGUUAGAAAUCGAGCCGCACGUCCCAUGCGCAUGUCUUUGUGCUUGCCAUUUUUCUUUAAAAGCAAAGUGAUUUCUUUACUUUUACUCAGUCUUUUUAUUUUGGCCCAUGGCAAUUUAGGAUAAACUUUUCAAGUCCCAGUUUAUAUGCGAUGGGGAAAGACGAUAUCCAGUUCAUUCCUGCUCCCAAGGCGGAGCUCUUCAGAUGGUGGGGUCAAUUAGAUCAGUUUGCCCAAGAGCGUGUGAAGGCCAAAGUCGGUCAUCUCCUAUUGUUGAUCCAAAUCACUGUUCGCCCUGAAGUCAUACAAGCCAUGGCACAUUUCUGGUGCCCGAAGACAGUUACUUUUAUAUUCGGUAGGUUUGAGCUAACCCCAACCCUGGAAGAAUACAGCAUCAUCACUGGAAUACCUCUUGAGAAAAAGCUCGUCAAACCAUCGACAGGCGCCCUCCCGUGGCGCGGGUUGGCGCGACUUAUAGGAGCUGAAAUCCAUGUCAUGAGACAAAUUCUUGAAAGCAACCAUAAUACAUGCCCUCUAGAAUUCAUGAAUGUAUGUUUUCAAAACCAGCCUAUGACCAAAAAAGGUGAGAUUUUCCUCCUGGCCUUUUUCAGGCUCAUCGUUUUCCCCCAUCAAAGAAAUGCCAUAACUCCCAAGAUGGCAUGGAUAGUUGACCAUAUCUUAAGAGGGGGGAAUUAUGUCAACAUGAUUUUAACUGAAACAUUAUUGUCCUUUAAUCUUUUUAAAGACAACUCGGAGAAAAUCAUGCGAGCCUCUCCUAAAAUUUUACAAGUCUUGUUCUUUUCUCACCUAAGCGAAUUCCGAGACUUCAUGCGAUCGUCUAAAACAAAUGCUUUCGAAAAUCCGUUACAAAAAUUUAUGGUUCUAGGACCAUACAUUCCCAAUCAAAGCUGUUUAAAUUGGGUAAGCUUCCUAAGAGACCCAGCUCCUGAGACAUUCCAAUGGUGUGCUGGUUGGUUCCAUGAAAAGAGAGCUCGCUUUGCUUUCAUACACACCUGCCCAAUUCCAUUGCUCGGCCUCACCGGCGACAUUCCCUAUUACCCGUAUUGAGUAGCACGACAAUAUGGAGCCCUUCAGGAGAUCCCACCGCCUUUCAAAAGGAUGAUCCCUCCAGUUCUUUUCAACACAAGCCGUGACUACACAAUCGAAAUUUCAAUUGCUGAGGAAACCUAGGACAAGUGCCAUCGCAAAAGGAUCGUGGUACCUGAAGGGCUUGAGGGAGAAGAAAAAGCCCACCACGCCUCCAUGUCCUACAUCCACAACCAUCGCAUCCCGACAAAAUGGAAGCCAUCAGUCCCUCACUCAAUCAGCGAGAGCAGCCAGCACGAGCAAGUAGAGCUCAUGGAGAGGGAUUUGGGAAUGGACUGGAUGCACACCUCAGAGCCGACCCAAGAAAGCAAGCGCAAGACUCCCCGUCGCAUAUAAAUUGGCAAUCAUGUGCCCCUUAGUGUUAAUAGUGUGAAAGUUUUGUCCCAUUGUUUAGGGACUUUUGUUUAAUAUCUACUAUUUCAUCUCGUCAUUUCAAUUUCAAGUUUUAAGUGUUAGGGGUUGGCAGUCUACAAAUCCUCUUUUGAUAAAUAAAAAAGCAAUUAGACCAUUGCCAUGGGUCAAUCUUUGUUUACUUCCGUGCUCAUUCAUUGUUUUCACAACGAGCAGGUAAUUAUGAAUCGCCAGCCACCAAUAGCUCGCGAAUGGCCUCAUGCAUUAAGGCCCGAUCAGAAUGAUAUACAAAAUCGCCUCAUUAACAUUGAAGAUGGCAUAGGACAGAUGUCCAUUGUCCUUCAACAACUCUCAAGGCAAAUGAAAUCCACUCAAGCUGAGCCCAACUCUAUAGUUGCCUCAAACACCAUCAUGAUACCCGCAAAUUUGUCAGAAAAUAGCCAGUACCAUAGACAGUUUGAAAGGAUCAUCAAAAAGUUAAGCCAGCUGCAGGAGCAGAAUCCCAAGGACCUGUCCAAUUACGUCGGCAUUGAGAUCCCUGAAAAACUCAAAGCACCUAAAUGCGAAAGGUAUGCUGAUACCUCUCGCCUAGAGACCUACUUGCAGGCCUACUUGGUUCGAAGGAUGAUUCAAUCGUACCAAUUGAGCUUGACUGGCCCUGCCUUGCGAUGGUAUAUUGUCAAGAAGAUUAGUCCCCUUAAAACCUGGAGGGAACUAAUUCAUGUUUUUCACCAAGAAUACGAUAUUGACAUCAACCCUGACAUAGCCUUGCCUUACGAAAAACUGAUGAUCGCGGAGCACAAGGAACCAUUAGUCGCUGAGAUAGGAGAAGAGCAUGUUAAUGAAGCCUUGCAUGAUAAAUGGGCAGCUGAACAACACCCUGUUACUAGAAAAUUUCCCACUAGGAAAAGCAAGGAGCCUUUGUACGAGAUCAAAGACAAAGAGCCUGUUCAAGACCGGGGCACGACUGGACGACUCCCCAAGCUCACUCCAAGAGCUAGGGUCCAAAGAAUACCAACCCCUAUUAACUUGGGAAGUGAAUCAGAUAGUGAAACUCCAAUGUCUCUCACUUCCUUUGACAGAAUCGAGCUGGCAAAACGAAGGGCCUUACUCAAAAGGUCUGGACCAGAAGCCAAGAAAAGAAAGCCUAAACAAAUCAACGCAGCGUCUGUCGACGAGCCACCACACCCAAGCUUCGAGCAUUCCCAAGAAUACAGCUUUGAAGACUUCCUGGCCCUAGAAUACAAUCCUAAGGACUUCCAGCAUUAUUUCGACAAUGAAACUGACGAUUCAUCGUAUAACUAUUUCCUACUCUCAUCCGGGGAUGAAAGUCCGUCAGAAGAGGAAGCAUAUGUCUUUAUCCGCUACGAUCCUAACGAAGUACUAAGCUCGUCACCUGACCAUGAGGAUAGCUUAAAUGCCUCAUCCUCCUUCGAUAAUUUUGACCCGGAAGAAAGCAAUGGGGUAAUCUCGAUAGAGUCCAGCUUCCCUGAAAUAGAAAAAUUCACCACCACAAUAGAUAUGCAGUGGGAAAACGAUUGGCCUAACCAAGAUACAUCAAGCCCGUCUUGCCCUCGUAGGAUCAUGAGCCCCAUAGAAAUGUGGAUACCCAAUCUCCGCAAGUAUAACGGCACAUCUUGUCCCGUGGCCCACUUGCAGUAUCUCCAUGCGGAAAUGAGUCGGUACUAUGGUCCGAUGUCGUUCACAACUCAGGCAUUCCAAGAAACUCUUACGGGGUCUGCAUUGCAAUGGUUUAUCACAGCAAAUAUUUAUCUUCUAAAGGAUUGGAAUGAGCUGACUUCCACAUUCUUGCAUCAGUACCAAAGCCAGAUCGAAACUGAACUACCUUGUGAGAGCUUGGCUCACUUCACAAAAAAAAACAAUGGAAGAUUUCCGAGCAUACGCAGGAAGGUGGAGGGCUUUCAUGAUGCAAACCCACCCUCAACUGGCUGAAGAGGAGUUAAUGAAGCAGUUCAUAGAAGUUUUGUCCUGCAAGCAGCGCUGUUGGCUGCAUGGGUUACACUUCCGUAACUUCAACGAGGUAGUCAUCGCAUGCGAAUACUUCGAGUCUACUGAAGGCGAGGAAUUCAAAGACGCUUAGCUUCAAGACCAGCACUAUCAAAGCGCUCCUUCACAUAAGGGUUUUCAUGAGUUUUACUUGUCUUUAUAAUUUCAUGUUUCUCAUUUUGUCUGGUGUGCUAUUGUUGUAUUUUCCAUUCAAGUAUUCUAAUGUACAAUUAUAAUAUUUUGUUUUAAGAGCAUGAGACGGUACUCCAAACCUGCCCGGUGAUGCUAUCCAACCAUGAAAAAAUAUAUAUCAUCCAGGGAGAAUACUGAGGGCUGGGCUUCCUCAUGCUUUUUCUCCCCCGAAUACAUAUUUUGAAAACAAAAAACACUUCAUCACCAAAAUAUUUCAAAAAAGAUGAUAAAUUUAAUCAUGUUUGUCUUUCUGACUCACUCACUUCAUGUCUCAGAAGAUCAUUCUCGUCCCCUUUGACUUAGUGUGACAGGGGGUAUUUGAAGCAAGCACAUUAUGUGAACUCACCGAAUUCAAUGACACCCUCCCAAGAAAGCAGGGGCAAACAGAAAUGAUCAUCACGUUUCAAAAUGGUAAGUCCUAUUCCCUGAACAUAAUGUUGAAAAUGACAUCCUCUCUCUUCCAUCUACAGGAAACGAAGGAUGGGAUGUAAUAGGCACAUGCAUAUUAUCAAACUUGAAGCAUGCAUAGCAUGAUAGCUCAAGGCAGGAUGUCCCGAGUUCAUUGACAGGACUUCCAGCUUCAACGAGCCAAGAAGCACAAAGAAGGAUUUGCUUCUCUUCCUUUAAAGUGAUUACUGUCAACAGGGAGAAAAUCUAGACAGUCAAAGCGAUCUAUAGCCCUACACCCUGGACAAUGAUGUUGGAAUCUAGAAACUUCACUCCAGACGCGUAUUCUUCCGAGGAGUAAUUGCCAUAAAAAAGCUUGAGACUUUUGAUCUCAGAUUCCAUAGAAGCUUGAGGUACAUGACUUUUGCCCAAUGAUGCUAUAGUUAAAGACAAAGAGAAAUUCCACAAAAGGAAGGCGUUGAAGAUGAAUCGACGACCAGCAAUCACACAUACAUGGUCACAAGUGAGGAAGGCCAAUCGAAAGAAAUGUCAAACUAUGUCAAGACGAAAAGGCUGUCAUCGACAUUCAAAUAUCCAGACUUUGGAGAAGAGUAAUUUGGUAUCGUUUCCAAUUCUCCUCCCAAUAUCUGAACUCACUUUUGACAUAUUUUCCCUAUUGACAUGAAGCAUUGGGAUUCAAGAACCAAACUUGAUGGUUAGGUUAGGCAAAACAAUAUUGGCCAAGCUAGUACAUGGAAAUGACCCACAUCAAAUUCACCUAGCUUCGUGUAAAAAGACAUGUCAUCCAGGAGCCAAUUCAGAGAAUAAUUGACCUAAUGAAGCAAGGGACAUAGGACUUCGUGUCCCCCUCUCACUUUAGGUUCACCCAAUCAUCUGCAAACCAGUGAAGGGUAAAGUUGUAUCACUUCCAGUUAUUCGACUCUUGAAAGAAUUCAUGACUAACACAUUCCCUCUUGUUUGUUGCAGGAUCACUUGACUGUCAAAAGCAAGGAUAACAAAUCAAUGAGAGGCAUGACAAACUCUCCUAAAUGAAAUGACGUCCUGAGUAAUCGCCAAAGCAAAUGACAGAAAAUCUCCAGGCCUCAACUCACAUUUGAUUUUGGCCAGACUAAUUGAUCUACUUGUACAUCUCCUCCUCUACAGGGGCAAAAGCAGAGAUGCCCGAUCAAAUUCCCAAUCCUUGGCUGAUCCUUCAUGUGUCAUAUCCCUAAUCAAUAGGGAUGACUAUCGACACCCAUUUGCGAAUAACCCUUUUGGUGUUCAAAAUUUAACAUAUUUGGAAACACCAUCAUGUUAACUCCUAAAGUUGUCAAUAGCGUCUUUUUUUAGUCAAAACCAUUCACUUGUUUUGAAAAGUUCAAACUCCAUCAUAUUCAAAAUGUUGCAUGUCAUUUCCAGAUGAAUUUUGCAUGAUGAUUUUGUCUGUCUAAGUCACUGAUUCCACUGAGGAUUAUUAGAAUAGACAGCUAAGUGAAGAAUACAAGAUUGAUUGGGCAUGUUGGAUGAGGCGCGUCAGAAUGAUGACAGGCAAGCUAUAUCCUACACACAGUCCCCCAUCUAUACACUUGUGAGAUGAGUGCAGAAGAUUCCAUGGCUGCAGGGUAAAGAGUUCUCUCGCGAAUGGUACGAUAACCAAAAUAGUGAGAGGCAUUCCAUCGCUCACCCCACUGAGCCCCAUACACUGAUGAAAUUUCUCUCAUAUCCCCGUCGAAGAACCACCACACACUGGGGCAAGUCGAAAACAAGUCAGCAUCACAAGGUGAGAAAGGGGAUAGAAAUUUUCUUGCUUGCACUUGCAUCAAUCUUCGAGUGUCUUUAUUGCAUAUGAACACUCGCGUUAAUUUAAGUGCCCUAGAGUCAUGAAGAGCAAUUCUUUCUUUACGCACUAUAUUCAUUGUACAACCCAAGUGAGUCUGUAAUUUUACCUUCACAUCAAGACAAUGCAGAAGUUAUUAUAGCCUGAGCGCCAGUUGAAGAUGAAGACUCAAGAGUCUAAUAACGAUGCUUCGAUUAAGCUUGCCAAGAUCAGCUCUCAAGCAACAAGAAUGAAAAAAGCAGGGGCAUAAAAAAGCAGUGUACCUGGUAAAAGCAAGGUCAAUGCCCAUAUUUGAAGAACUGGAAUAAAAAAUAAGGGCAUGAAAAAAGCAGCGUGCCUAGUAAAAGCAAGGCCAAUGCCCCCCAGUCAAAAAUACAGCCAAGAAAAAGUUGUUGUGGUCCAUAGAACCUCCAUAUGACAAGAAAGACUAGUGACAAAUGCCGAGACAGUCACCAACUCUCACCCUCUUACAUGUGAAUCAAGCCUACAUUACAUCCCAUUGUAAAAGCCUCUUCAGACUAGGGGCACUUCAAUUAACGUAGGAUUUCAUAUGUCUAUAAGCAUCGCUCGAAGAAGUGCGAGCAAGACUAUUCUAUCUCUUUUCGCAGGACUCUUGACUUGCAAACCUAGAUAUGAUCGUGCGGCACUUCAUUCAUAAGCCUUGACCUCGACGGUCCCAUUUGAUGAGCCACUGACCAAGACUUCAUCACAGUUUCAAUAAAGACCCCUCACAUUGGUAAAGUCAUACUGUUUGCGAGAAUACUCAGACCCCUAUUGACAUGAUGAUAGUAAGAAGAGUGGUCCUUAUAAAUCCUGCAUCAAUGGUCAGGAUAGCCUUUUCCAUGAAAGUGAGCGAAAAGUCCUUUUAGACUGAAAGUCCCUCAUCUGGCAUGCUCAAGACAUCUACAUUCCAAAUGAAGGUUGUCUUUCAAAAUCUCCCCCGGUGGAAAUCAAAUGAUGCAAAACUGACAAAAUUAUCAUGCAUGAAUCUCAUUUGAACUUAUGAAUUUAUAGCAUAUACAAUCAUAUGUGCAUAUUGUGCGAAUAGCAGACAUACUCUCAGAGAGCCGAGAUAUUGCCAGGUAAGCAUAUCCCUAUCCACAUUUGUCUUAAGGUACCUAUCACUGUCUAGGUACUCUCUUCUUGACACUCGACCUAUUCGAAUUGUCUCUUGAGUUUCGAUGCUUGCAACUGUCUUAGCAUCCCAUUGUCUUUGAGUACCGGCCACCGUCCGAAUACUCCUUUUUCCUGACACUCGACCUAUUCGAGUUAUCCUCAGAGUAUUGAUACUUGUGACUAACCAAGUAUUUCUUUAUUGUUGAAUACCUACUGCUGUCUAGGUAUCCCUGUUGUUUUUUAGUACCGGUCACCGUUCGGAUGUUCCCUUUUCCUGACACUAGAUAUGUUCAAGUUGUCCCCAGAGUAUUGAUACUUGUGACUGACCAAAUAUCUCUUGGAAUACCUAUUGCUGUCUAGGUAUUCCCAUAUCGUCAAGUACCCACCGUUGUCCAGGUACAUCAUUUUCAUGAUACUUAACCUGUCUGAGUUGUCCCCAAAUGAUAUAGUAGCUGUUCAAGCACUCCACUACGUUGUGCACCUGCGGUUACCCAGGUAUGCUCUCUUAUCAUCAUGAUACUUGGACCAACCUGAGUGGUCCCAGAUCAUAUCACUAAAUACUUGUGUUUAUCCAAGUAUUUUAGUACUUUGUACACCUGUGGCUACCCAAGUGUUCUAGCCCUUUUGAGUGCUUGUGGCCAUUCAGGUAAGCCUCGUACCCCAUUCCCAUUUACCAGAAGGUGAGAGACCUUCAUGAAUAUGCGAGGCACACCCUUGAUAUUCCCAAUUACCAGGAGGUGAGAGACCUUCAUGAAUAUCCCAGGUACGUCCUCGAUAUUUCCAUUUACCAGGAGGUGAGAGACCUUCAUGAAUAUGCGAGGCACGUCCUCAAUAUUCCCAAUUACCAAGAGGUGAGAGACCUUCAUGAAUAUCCCAGGUACGUCCUCGAUAUUCCCAUUUACCAGGAGGUGAGAGACCUUCAUGAAUACGCGAGGUACGCCCUCGAUAUUCCCAUUUACCAGGAGGUGAGAGACCUUCAUGAAUAUCCAAGGUACGUCCUUGAUAUUCCCAAUUACUAGGAGGUGAGAGACCUUCACGAAUAUCCCAGGCACGCCCUCAAUAUUCCCAACUACCAGGAGGUGAGAGACCUUCACGAAUAUCCCAGGUACGUCCUCGAUAUUCCCAUUUACCAGGAGGUGAGAGAUUUUCAUGAAUAUGCGAGGCACGCCCUCGAUAUUCCCAAUUACCAGGAGGUGAGAGACCUUCACGAAUAUCCCAGGUAUGUCCUCGAUAUUCCCAUUUACCAGGAGGUGAGAGAUUUUCAUGAAUAUGCGAGGCACGCCCUCGAUAUUCCCAAUUACCAGGAGGUGAGAGACCUUCACGAAUAUCCCAGGUACAUCCUUGAUAUUCCCCUUUACCUGGAGGUGAGAGACCUUCAUGAAUAUCACAGGUACGUCCUCGAUAUUCCCAAUUACCAGGAGGUGAGAGACUUUCAUGAAUAUGCGAGGCACGCCCUCGAUAUUCCCAAUUACUAGGAGGUGAGAGACCUUCACGAAUAUUCCAGGUACAUCCUUGAUAUUCCCCUUUACCAGGAGGUGAGAGACCUUCAUGAAUAUCCCAGGUACGUCCUCGAUAUUCCCAAUUACCAGGAGGUAAGAGACCUUCACGAAUAUGCGGGGCACACCCUCGAUAUUCCCAAUUACCAGGAGGUGAGAGACAUUCACGAAUAUCCCAGGCACGCCCUCGAUAUUCCCAACUACCAGGAGGUGAGAGACCUUCAUGAAUAUGCGAGGCACGUCCUCAAUAUUCCCAAUUACCAGGAGGUGAGAGACCUUCAUGAAUAUCCAAGGUACGUCCACGAUAUUCCCCUCUACCAGGAGGUGAGAGACCUUCACGAAUAUCCCAGGUACGCCCUCGAUAUUCUCAUUUACCAGGAGGUGAGAGACCUUCACGAAUAUCCCAAGUACGUCCUCGAUAUUCCCCUUUACCAGGAGGUGAGAGACCUUCACGUAUAUGCAAGACCCAUCCUCAAUAUUUCCACACGAUUCCCCUCUACCCAGGAGGUGAGAGACCUCACGAAUAUCCCAGGUACGCCCUCGAUAUUCUCAUUUACCAGGAGGUGAGAGACCUUCACGAAUAUCCCAAGUACGUCCUCGAUAUUCCCCUUUACCAGGAGGUGAGAGACCUUCACGUAUAUGCAAGACCCAUCCUCAAUAUUUCCACACGAAUAUCUCAGGUAUGCCUUGAUUCUUCCUUAAGAGUUUGUACUUGUGAUCGUCCAGGUACCCCUUCGAUACUUGUAAUCAUCCAGGUAUCUCCAAAGAGUUUGUACCUGUGAUCGUCCAGGUACCCCUCCGAUGCUUGUGAUUAUCCAGGUAUCCUCCAAGAGUUUGUACUUGUGAUCAUCCAAGUACUAUCUCCCAACAAAUGAGAUGCCCUAAGAAAGGUCGGUGCAUCUCCCGUCAAGGCGACCGAAGAAAGGUUCGGGUCCUAGACAAACCAUUGAUUGUUUUGAUAGGCGACCGAAGAAUGGUUCGGGUCCUGGAGAAGCAUCUCCCGUCAAGGCGACCGAAGAAAGGUUCGGGUCCUAGACAAACCAUCGAUUGUUUUAACAGGCGAUCGAAGAAUGGUUCGGGUCCUGGAGAAGCAAUUUCCCGUCACGGCGACCGAAGAAUGGUUUGGGUCCGAGACAAACCACUGAUUACUCCAAUAAGCGACCGAAGAAUGGUUCGGGUCCUGGAGGAGCAAUCUCCUGUCAAGGCGACCGAAGAAAGGUUCGGGUCCUAGACAAACCACUGAUUGUUUUAACAGGCGACCGAAGAAUGGUUCGAGUCCUGGAAAAGCAAUUUCCCGUCACGGCGACCGAAGAAUGGUUCGGGUCCGAGACAAACCACUGAUUGUUUUAACAGGCGACCGAAGAAUGGUUCGGGUCCUGGAGAAGCAAUUUCCCGUCACGGCGACCGAAGAAUGGUUCGGGUCCGAGACAAACCACUGAUUGUUUUAACAGGCGACCGAAGAAUGGUUCGGGUCCUGGAGAAGCAAUUUCCCAUCAAGGCGACCGAAGAAUGGUUCGGGUCCUGGAGAAGCAAUUUCCCAUCAAGGCGACCGAAGAAUGGUUCGGGUCCUAGAGGAGCAAUCUCCCGUCAAGGCGACCGAAGAAAGGUUCGGGUCCUAGACAAACCACUAAUUGUUUUAACAGGCGACCGAAGAAUGGUUCGAGUCCUGGAGAAGCAAUUUCCCGUCAAGGCGACCGAAGAAAGGUUCGGAUCCUAGACAAAUCAUUGAUUGUUUUAACAGGCGACCGAAGAAUGGUUCGAGCCCUGGAAAAGCAACCUCUUCAUAUCACCAGGUAAGAUGACGCCUUGAUACUUGCCAAACUCAGGGUUCACACCCUAUCUCACUCACUCCCGGUAAGUAACUACAGGUAUCUUCUUAUCUGUCUUAGUAUAUGUAAUGUUAUAGUGCUCUUUUUGCAUACGAUAAUAGGUCUUAAGUAAAAUAUAAUCCGUUAUGCAUGUAUGGAUAAAAUUUAGGCAUCAGUUUGUCUUUGAAUGCAACCUCUGCGAGCUCACCUUCAAAGAGGGGAAGCUGUUGACGCCUAAAAUUAGUUAGGUUUUAUUUAGCUUCAUUUAACUUUAUUUUAUUUUAUUUUAUCUUUUUCGGAUAAUAAAUAAGCAAAUAACGAAAAAAAAACAGAAAAACAGAAAAAGCAGCCUCCGCAUGGGCCUUCGGCCCAUCUCCGCCUCGGCCCAGCCCGACCGAGUCUUCUUCCUCCCUGCGCCACUGCAAUGCAUGCGCGGGCAGGCGCGACGCCGGAGGGAGAUGGAUGGACGGCAGCGCACGUGAAGCAGAGGAGCAGUUGGCGUCGACGGGACGUGACCGGAGCGGGAGAUGAUGGCAGAUGGGACGCCGGUUCGGCUGACGGAGGUCAUUCGGCGCGCAGGAACCGGCGGUCGAAGCUUCGUCGACCGACCGCCCCCCUCGCCUAUAAAUAGGGCUCCCCCGACGACGGUAAUGAGGACGCCAAGAAGGAUCGAAGGCUGCAAAUCCUCGAAACCUCCCACUGAGAGACUUCAGACGGGGGGCCAAGGACGAGCAGGCCGAGAUCCGAGAACUCGCGGCCGGAGACGAGGGGGAGAGAUCCGAGUGGGUGGAGGUUGAGCACAGAGAUCCCGGAGAGAGAGAGACGGAGCCAGAUCGAGUCACAGCCCUUGGACACCCCACUAAGAGACUUCAGGGGGGCUGAGGGUUCGCGGCCUCAGAUCUGAGCCUCGCCGGAGGGGGAAAGUAGAGAGAGAAGCGCAUGAGGGGAAGGGAUUUGCGUGGGUCUCACCGUCACGGUCUUCGCUCUUGUCGCGCCGUCGCCGAGCAGGUAUCGUGCCGUCACCGUCACCGUCGCCAUCACCCCCCUGUAGUCCAAUCAUCGUCGUCGUCUGCAUCGCUGCCGUCGUCGCCGUCGCCGUCGCCGCCGCCGCCGCUGCACCUCAGCCUUCCCCUCUUCGGCGCCGCGAAUUGAGAACCCUAGGGUUCGCAUUUUUUUCGGGUCGCAGCCUCGGGUCAUCGGAUCGGACCCGGGCUGCGAACAGGGUAGGGUUUAAAGUGGCGGCUGCGAGUCGGGUUGGAAGUCGGGUCAGACCCGGGUAGGGUUUCGCUAGGAAUCUCGGGUCGUCGGGCCGGGCCGGGCGUCCCCAAACGCCCGGCCAUAGCGUCAUUUUAAUAUUUAAAAAAAAAAAAGAUGAAAAAAUCCGAGUCGGGCCAGCAACGCGGGCCCGUCCGCGUUUGGGUCGCCGGCCCGGGUCGGACCCAACCCGCGGAUCCGACCCGAGUUGGUUUUAUUUUGUUUUAUAAUUUUAAUAUAAAAUAAUAUUCUAAUAAAUAAUAAAUAAAUAAUUGAUUUAAAAAAAAUCAAAAAUGUUUUAAUUUCCAGAAAAUCAAAAAAUAUUUAAAAAUGUUGAAAAAUGUUUUAUUUUCUAAAAAAUCGAAAAAAAUCAAAAAUAAUUUAUUUUCCGAAAAUAUUUUGAAAAAUAUUAAAAAAUAUUUUAUUUUCCGAAAAAUAAAAAAAAAAUCAAAAAAAUUUCAUAUUUUCCAAAAUAUGCCAAAAAUCCAAAAAAAGCCAAAAAUUCAUGAAAAAGCCAAAAAAAUUCAGAAAAAACUAAAAAGACUUGUAUUUUUCCAAAAAAUACCAAACAAUCCGAAAAAAAUCUCUUUUGUGUCCAAAAAUUAGAAAAUGACUCAAAAAAUGUUUUUCCUCCCAAAAAUGCAUGGAAAAUCCCUCGAACAUCCAAAAAACCUUAGGGUUUAAACAAGAUUAGAUACCGAAAGGGCAUUAGUGAUUAACUAGUGUAAUCAAGUCCCCGAUCCUAAUUUCUCUGGUUGCGCAGGAGUGAGUAUUUCUCCCGAUACUUCACUUGGGUUUCUAAUCAACCCACCCCAAAUCGAUUAGUGGCGACUCCAAUUUAAAAAUUAAUUUACAGGUUAAAACUCAGACCAUUAAGUUGUGAAUUGGUGGACUUGGGAGAGUCCGGGCUUAAUAAAUUCAGCCGAACCAUUAGCCUCUUUAGGCGCUCGUACCCGAUUGCGGGCGCCGAAAAAAAAGAGGUCGCGACAAGCUGCAGAAGGAAAAGAAAGAAGCGUGCAGCAAAAGGGAAAAGUCCAUAGCAACGUGGGAAAGAGGAAAAGAAAUAAGAAAAAAAAAAACGCAGCAAGCAGGUCUUCUUCCUUGCGCGGGCAUCCUUCGCCCCCUUUGCCAGCCCCCAUCCGCAAGCACUGCACCAGCACCACCCACGCCGGUAGCCGAACCGCCAACUAUCGCUGCUCUUCCGGUGACCUAUGAGCCAUCUCUACUCCCCCACUGCUGCCACUCAUCCUCCGUUGACGUUUUGCCUGCCGUGUCUCCGCCCGUCCGCAUCGCACUUGCUGCCCAUCCCUCGCUGGUCACCGCCACAACGCCAACAACCUGCGAUCUCGGCCACCAAAACCGUCGUCCCCUGCAUCGGCCACCACGCUCGCAUUUCCGCCGGCCGCCCCUAUCGUCGCUCGUCCGCUCCACUUCUCUCUGUCUGAUCACCCUCCCGUCGCCACUCUCCAGGUUUCACCCGAGCCCUAGCAGCAUCGCCGCUGCGCCACUACCGACGCUCUGACGCCGCUACCUCUACCUGCACCAAAGCCCAACGCCCCUAUCGUUGCGCCUGCCAUCCGCCUUGCUUGUAGCUUUGCCAGAGCCACCUCUGUCAGUCAUCGCCCUAGCAACCUACAGCCACCUACGAAGCCGCGCCGCCUCUGCUCCGCCUGCCAAAGCCCUUUGCUUAGAUGCCUCCUCCUGCCCGCUCGCCUCCUGGGACCCAGCGCCCAACGCCCUGAAGCAUCACCAAGAGCCCGAUGCCACCGUUGCUGCUUCCUUCCUACAGUCGCUUGCCCGCAACAGCUGCCGGACCCCCCUGGCCUCCGCCUACGUAUCCGCUCAUAGCCCGACGCCAUCGCGCCUCCGUGACUCGCGACGCCUCUGCCCCCGAGCACCGGCAGCGCCUCCGCCCAACGUAACCCGCUGCCUCCCUUCGCCGUUUCUGACCACCUGAAGCUUCCGUGACCUGCAGCCACUGCACGUUUACGCCUGCUCAACCCAGCCCCAACGCCUUCACCGGUGGUCCACCUUCCCUCAGCCCUCCACCUGAGAGCCCACGUCACAGCUGCUCCACUAGCAGCACCAACGCGGGGAAGCGUUGAGUCCUUAGGUGGUUUAUUUUUAUUAUUUUAUUUCAUUUCAUUUUACUUUAUUUAUUUUAAGUUUCGUUAUUAUUGGAGCAUGGUGUGUUGAUAUUAUUUGAAUAUUGUAGGCAUUAUUCGCAGGGUUUUGCCUAGAAUUAUUGUAAUUAUUAAUUUAAUCCGUAAGAUAUCAGAUCAUUUUUUUUAAUUAUAUUAUUCUUUUGGGCAUACAAACAUUGCAAUCCAAUCCUAUUGUUCGGCCUCACCAGCAUCACUCCCUAUUAUCCAUAUAGGGUAGCACAUCAGUACAGAGCCCUUCAGGAGAUCCCUCUACCUUACAAGAUGAAGAUCUCUCCACUCUUUUGCACCCAUAAAAGCGGUGAUUAUGCAUUCGAGAUUCGCAAUAUCGAGGAUACAUAGAGCAAGUGCCAUCGCAAAAGGAUGGUGUUGCCUAAAAGGCGUGAGGGACAGAUAAAGGCCUAUCAUGCCUUUGGUCCAGAGCUAGCCAACAAAAUCAGCCAGCAAAAUCAGUCAAUAUGAGCAAAUUGAGCAUAUGCAAAGGGGCUUGGGAAUAAUGUGGGUACAUGUCUUAGAGCCAGUCCAAGAAAGCAAACAGCUUCGCAAGACCAAGGCUUCUCGUCACAUAUGAAAUAGCAGUCAUGUACCCCAUAAUGUCAAUAUUUUGAAAGUUUUGUCUUGCUCUUAGUCCCAUUGUUUAUGGACUUCUCUUUAAUGUUUAGUAUUUCAUUCUGUAUUCUUAAUUCCAAGUAUAGAUGUCAGAAAUAUGCAAUCUACGAAAUCCUCUUUUGAUAAAUAAAAAUAGUUGGAUUGUUGUCAUGGGUCAAUCUCUAUUUACUCUUGUACUCAUUCAUUUUUUAUUUUAUUUUUUUGCGAUGUUAGGUAAUUAUGAAUCACCGACCACCAAUCACUCACAAAUGGCCUUAAGCAAUAGUGGCUAAUCAGAGUGAUGUACAAAAUCGACUUGCUAAUAUUGAAGAUGGCAUAGGACAGAUGUCCAUUGUCCUUCAAUAACUCUCGAAGCAAAUGAAGUCCACUCAGGCCAAGCCCAACCCCAUAACUGCUCUAAAUACACUCGUGACACCUGUGAAUUUGCCAAAAGAUGACCAAUAGGACAGGCACUUUGCAAGGAUCAUGAAGAAGCUGAGCUAGUUGCAAGGUCAAGAUCCCAUUGAUCUAUCUAAUUAUGCCAGUGUUAAAAUUCCAGAAGAGCUCAAAGUGCUUGAAUGUGAGGGGUACGCUAAUACCUCUUACCCAAAGGCCUAUUUGUAGGCCUACCUAAUCCGAAGGAUGAAUCAAUCGUACCAAUCAAAUAUAAUCGGCCUCGCCUUAUGGUGGUAUAUUGUAAGGAGGAUUUAGGGGGGAAUUGACCAAUGCUUUCUACCAAGAAUAUAACGUUGACAUCGACAUCGACAUCAACAUCAUCUAGCCUCAUGAAAAGCCGAUAGUCACGGAGACGAAGGAUAACAAGCUCUUCAGGAUACAUGCCACAUCAGGGAAGAGCCCCACCACCCAGUUUGACCCGCAACCAAUAGAAGAAUGAUCGAUUGGAGAAAAUACUGAUGUAGCCUUACAUAAUAAAGGGACUACCAAGUAGUAUCAUAUUACUGAUGAGUUUCCCAAUAAAAAAGAUAAGGAGCCCACGGAUGAGGUUAACACUAUAAAACCUAUUCAGAAUCGAAGCACGGUAGUGCAGCUUCCCAAGCUUACCGCAAAAGCUAGGGUCUAAAGAAUGCCGACCUCCAUCAACCUAAGAAGUAAAACUCCACCAUCUCCCAAUCCCCUUGACACACUCAAGUUGGCAAAACGAAGGGCUUUACUCAAAAGGUCAGGACCAGGAGUUAAGAAAAGAAAGCCUAAGCAAUCCAAGCCAACGCUCACCAUCGAACGUAGGCAAAGUCUCAAUCAAUGAGCUACCACGCCAAGGCUCUGAACAUCGCCCAUGGUAUAGUCUUGAGAGCUAUCAGUAUCAUUUAGAUGAGGUUAGCCAUUCAUCAAAUGAUUGCCUCCCACCUACGCAUAGGAUCCAAAGCUUGUUAGAAGGGGGGAACAUUUGCUCUUCAAAGCUUAUCUCCCAAUAGGCUGCUAAAUUUGUCAUCCAAUCAUGAGAAAGACAUAAAUGCCUCAUCCUCGAUUGGAAAUUUCGACGUAGAAGAAAGUAAUGAAAUGAUCUCGAAAAAGUCUAACCUUCUUGAACUAGCAAAAUUCAUCACCAUAAUUAAUGGAAUGUCGAUGCAAUGGAAGGAUCAGUCACCUAACCAAGACAUGGCAGGUCCAUCUUGCCUGCACAGGAUUACGAUUCCCAGAGAAAUGAGAAUACCUAAUCCCCAUAAAUAUAAUGGCACAACUUGUCCUAUGACCCACUUGCAAUAUUUCUAGGCUAAAAUGAUUCGACACUACAACUGGACGCCAUUCAUAACUCAAGCAUUCCAAGAAAGUCUUAUGGGGCCUGCAUUGCAAUGGUUCUUCAUGGCAAGGAUCUACCUCAUGAGGAAUUGGAAUGAGCUGUCAUUUGCAUUCCCGCAUCAAUACCAACUGAAUCGCCCGGUGAGGAUUUGGUUCGCAUCUAGAGAAGACCAAUUGAGGAUUUCCGAGCAUAUGCAGAAAGGUGAGAGGGUUUCGUGAUGCAAACUAACCCUCAACUGGCCGAGGAAGAAAUGAUGAAGCUAUUCAUAAAAGCCUUACCUCACAAGCAUCGCUUUUGGUUGCAUGGAUUGCGCUUUUAUAACUUCAAUUAAGUGGUCCUCUCAUGUGAAUACUUUGAAUUUAUUGGGGGGUAAAGAACUUAGAGACACUGAUGCCAACACUAUCAACUAUCAAAAUGCUCAAUUUCAUAGAAGUUUUCAUGGGUUUUGGUUGUUUUUAUAGCCUCAUAUUUUAUAUCCUGUCUAAUAUGUUACAGUUGCAUUUUCUAUUCCAAUAAUUUAAUUUGUUUUCACUAAGAAUAUACAAUUCUAAUUCAUUUUCAGAGCAUGAGGUGGUGUUCCAAACCGAUCCGGCGAUGCUAUUCAACCAGGAAAAGAAAAUAUCAUCUAAGGAGAAUUCUGAGGACUGGGCUUCCUCAUGCUUCCUCCCCCUAAAAAGAAAAAAAAAUGAAAAAAAAAAUUCAUUAUAAAAAAAAAUCAAAGCAAGAUGUCAUAUGUAAUCUUGUUUAUUUUUCUGACUUACUUACUUUGUGUCUUAGAACAUCAUCCCCUUUGACUUAGCAUGACCAGGGGCAUUUGAAAAUGGCAUGUCAUGUGGAAUUGUCAGAUUCUAAAAUACUCUUUCAAGAAAAUAUGAGCAAAUAGAAAAGAUCAUCUCGUUUAAAAAAAAAAAUGGUAUGUCUUGUUCCCUGAACAUAAUUUUUGGAAUGAUGCUCUCUCUCUUCUAUUUACAGGAGAUGAAAGAUAGGACUUAAUAGGCAUAGGCACACGGUUGAACUCGAAGCAUACAUAUCGUGGUAGCUUAGGGUAGGUUAACCUGAGAAUCCUCCCCCAUUCCACCUUCAGCCUUUACUAUUUUGUGAGCCGUCCCUAGAACUCUAUACACUCCACCUCACACCUACACAACUCUAUCUCGAGUCUGAGCAAUGUCUUCGUCGCACAGCGUACCCAAGCAACCAAACAUUGUAGUUUCAUUGAUGGGAUGUUCAGCUUCAAUAAGCCAAGAAGCAUAGAGAAGGAACUCAUUCUCUUCAUUUGAAUUUGCUAUUGUCAAUAGGGAGAAAAUCCAGAUAGUUGAGGCGAUCUCUAGUCCUCUAUUCCAAAUGAUGACUUUAACAAGACGUUUCAAAAAAAGCACUUAAGACUUCGCAGUUUAGCUAGAACUAGCCCUUGAAUGCAUGUAGCGGAUGAACGUAAGCAGCAUUCCUAACACUCUGGAACGAGUGAUGCUCUUGGCAUCUGAAAGGAGUCCAGAAGUCUGGAAUUAUCACACCCCUCCCUUCUGUCGAAACAUAGACAUUUACAUCCGAACUAGCAACUAGGGAAGCGAUAGCCACUGUGGCUCCUCUAAAAGUGUAUCGGGUUUGAAGCAUGGAGGGCAACUAUAAUGUCCAUAUAUAAAAUUCAUAAGAAAGAAGCAACGACUAUGGUACAGGUAACUUUACAACUUUGAAUCUAUACGGCUUACUACCCAUAUCGAAGUGUAGCACCUAAAGUUCAUUUCUUGGGAAAUGUCUUCGGCUUUGUCCUCUCGUUGGCUCUUCUUAUGACAUCCCAAGCCUUUUGUGGGGCAUAGACACCUUGUUGUGAAGCAAAAAAUGACUCAUACCCAGGUGAGUCGAAAGCAAGCCCACUGUACUUGGAUGUCUUGCGUGGAAGCAAAGGAAAAGCAAAGCUCCUCUCUGGUUCCACCGUGAGCUGACUACUGUGAAUUUCCUGUACUAUCUGGUAAUCAUACGGGAAGAAACACCUUUGAACCCUGAAACCAGAUGCAGGAAAAAUUAGUGGGGGCGAAAAAAAGAAACUAACCAGAUGAAGUUUGCAUUAAAAUUACUUUAAGAAAACACGCGUUGCUAAUAAACAUAAUCCACAAAAUAGAAUAUGGUUAAUCCAGAAAUCAAUCACUUGAGACAAGCGAGCUGUCAAGUUCCCACAAGCCAAUAAAUACUCAUACCAAUUAAGGUUGAUAUAUGGAUUUAUCCUAUAACUGCAAUCCAGAAAUCGGGCAAUGUUCAGCCCAAAGAGGAGGAACAGGGUUUAGAGGGAGGGAGAGAGGGAGAGAGAGAGAGAGAGAGUCGGGGCAGAUGCAAUUCACAAAUGAUGGAACAUCUGAGGAACCCCAAUAAAUUUAUGAAAAACUGGAAAAGUAUGGACAUGAAAAGCCAUGCAUCUUGUCUUGGAGCAAAUAGGGAUAAAAGGAGCCACAAAAUCGGCAAGGAAGAUGAGGAAGGCUAUUUGAAAGAAAAAGGAGGCCCUCCAUUAUAUUGUCCACGACAAACGUCCUUCGUUACUUUUAGAAAAGCUAAAUUGCAGAUUUGCAAUCAGUCUUCGUUACUUAAGGACUACGGUGUUUCUCCCCGUUUGUAGGCGACAAACAUGCCUAAAAAUAAAAAAGCCUGAGCUUUUUUAAUUUUUUUUGGCCAGAUAAAAGUCUGAAACCUUACCCUUGCCAUAAGAAGUCACCAAGUGGCACGACAAUUGAAACCAGAAGAAACGUUAGGUAGAAGUAGACUGUACUCAUUAUUACAUGGAUGACAUGGUAGAGAUUUUCCUGCGCAUACAUGUAAUAAGACGAAUAUCAGAAUUAUUGCUAUACAGUAUCCAUUAAAGGGCUAGUUUAGCUAAAGGGAAGGAAAGAACCCCCCGAAAGGGAGAAGACUCGCCCUUUUAAGUGAACAUAUGAAAACAAUAACAAACCAAAGAGGGACGCUUAAACAGACAGCGAUGUGUUGCCAUAUUGUAAUUGGAUUACACAUGAAAGGAAGGCGCAAGUUGACAAUGACAAGAACAAAGGUAAUUGCCAUCAUGCUGACGUCCCAGAGGCCGAGCAUUUUUCCUGAUGAAUUUAGGUCAGCAGAAGUAGAAGCUGUCACAAAGUGAUAAAGGAGGAGAGACUAGUAGACUGCAGACAGCCCCGGGCUGCCACAUCUCUCCACCUGAAGUAUGAAUUCCGUAUUCCUCCUUAUACAGUAGUGGAUACUUCUCGAAAGUGACGCACUAACAUCCUGGAAAAACAUGCAAUAACGCUGUCAAGUAUUUGCUCCUCUUGUGAUUUGCGUUGGAGUAUAUUUAUGAAUGUUAGUCGACGAUCAGCAAGUGGUCCCGAAAAAAGAAAUCGGAGCUUUGUUAGUCCCUAAUGAUUUAUACAUGAGCUACUGCCUAGAGACCCACCGAGAGAGAGGGACCCAUAUCAAAACCCCAACUUUAUCUUUUUCUCUUGCCUUCAGUAAAAAAAACCCUCCCUCAUUAAUCAAUAGACCUGUUAAACAAGUAGAUUGAGUUGAGUUUGGUUAAGUCAUAAAUGGUUUGACCCAUAUUGAUCCACUUAAUCUGUUUUGACCCAUUUAUUUACAAUGCAAAUUUCUCGACUCAUGCCCAACCAACUAGACUCAUAUCAAACUCAUCUUGAGAUUCAUUUUUAGCAUUUUUACUCUUCGUAUUGUCACUUUUAAAGAAAACCCAUGAACUGGCUCGUUGAGUUAAUAAGGAAGCUCACGAUCAGGUUAUGAUCUGAUUCAUGUACCACCCACACUACACAAUUUUUUUGCCUUCUCCCUCCUCAUCACACCCCCAACCCCACCACCACCACCGCUUUACCCGCACUCGACAGGCGCCAUCACAACCACCGCCCACCAUCGCAUCAAUUCGAUUUACUUUUAAUUUCACUUGAAGAUUUUUGGAGUUUUUUGCUUAUUUGAUUAAUUAACAAAAAUCUCAAUUUUUUUUGGGAUUAUUUUUUUGCAAUUUUUUUUACAUUUGUAAUUAGAGUAAGCCCAGGUUGUUAAGUGGCAACAGCAACUGGCAACAGCAACUGUUCAGCUAAUAAAAGGCCAGGUGUAACCACUUCAGAAGCAUUACCACAAGACAAAAAGAAAGGACCGACUACUGUAGCUUCUAACCACGGCUUCUCCGACUAAGGGUAUAGAUUUUCCGGCAAGAAGUUCGUCCAUGGUUGACUCGGUGAUGUGUAAAUGGCUACAUAAAAUGAACAAAACGAGGCAACAACAUCAGUAUGAGCAAGCAAUUCAAUGAAAAGGGAUCAAACUCGGACUAAAAUAAAGUCAAAAGCAAAUCACACACAAUCUAUUUCGAAAUCUCACUUAAGCAUUUUAUCGAACACGUGACGUGCAACUUCAACAAUGAUAUUCCAAUUUGAUUUUCCAGCGACUCUCGGCCUAAUCGCGGUAUACAGUGACUUAGAUCAAUGCCACUUGCGGCCAAUCGAUCCCAGCUUAUCAUGAUUUACUUAUUAACUUGCCGAUCGAGUUCGGGCUCUUGAAAGACAGGGCUAAGACAGAGCAUGUUCGGGAAAGAGGAAGCUCACCUUACCUGGGCAAUACUGAGAACGAAGGAUCAAGGUAACUGAGCUCCACAAGGUCGUCGAUUGGGCGAACGGCUUCAGAAAGUAUCUACGUCGCUCGGCCGUGGAGAGAUACGGCGACCGGUGACCAGCGACCGGCGACCAAAAGACUCGAAGCCAUUUCCGGCCAAAUUCAAAGAAACUCCGGCGAAGUACUCUGGAUCGGACGAGUUUCGUGAGUUUUUUUUAUCUCUGUUUCUCACCUUUUUGGGCUCAAAUUGUGGGCUGAAAGAAAAUAAGGAAAAUCGGGAAGUUGGACUGAAAAUUUUACUAAAGAAAACGGGCCUGGUAUAAAUGGCCCACCCAAGCUUUAUUAGUGUUUUUAUUGUUUUUUUCUUUUUAUAUAUAUUAUUAAUUUUUAUCAAAAAAAUUCUCUAUUCUCUUCUAUUUAUCCAUGCCUAGUAACAUAGCCCCCCCUUUUUUUUGUAUUUUUGCUUUCCUUUUUUAUUUAUUACUAUAUAGUUUUUUUGUUGUUGUUUUUACCAUUUUUUUAUUUCUAUGUAAAAAAUAAUAAUGUGUCAACAGUCACAUGUUUCAUCUAAUGGGAAUGAACAUGGUUUAUGGACCAACUUGCUUGGAUUUUGAUUAGUCAAUGAUUUUUGCUCCCCAUUGAAGUCAUCAAAAAAGAAAAUGAACUCUCAAGACAUUAUCUUUUCUAGAUGAUCCUCAAUGGGGACAAUUCAAAUUGUCAAUAAUCAUAGUAUUUUCUCUUUCCUUUUUUUUUUUUUUUACUAUAGUUUUUUUUUUGUCAUUUUUACUUUUUUAUUUUAUUUUUAUGUAACAAAAAUAAGAUGUCAACAGUCACGUGUUUUGUCUAAUGGGAAUGAACCCGGUUCAUAAAUCAACUUGCUUACAUUUUGAUUUGUCAAUGAUUUUUGCUCCCCAUUGAAGUCAUCAAAAAAGAAAAUGAACUCCCAAGACAUUUUCUUUUCUAGAUGAUCCUUGAUGGGACAAUUUAAAUUGUCAACAAUCGCAGUAUUUUCACCUCCCUUUUUUAUAUUUUGUAGUUUUUACCAUUUUUUAAUUUUUAUGUAACAAAAAUAAGGUGUUAAUAUUCGUGUGUUUCGUCUAAUGGGAAUAAAUAAACACAAUUCCAAGACCAACUUGCUUGGAUUUUGAUUAGUCAAUGAUUUUUGUUCCCCAUUGAAGUCAUCGAAAAAGAAAAUGAACUCCCAAGACAUUUUCUUCUCUAGAUGAUCCUCAACGGGGACAAUUCAAAUGGUUAGCAAUCACAAUAUUUUCUCUUUCCUUUUUAUUUUUAUUUUUUAUUACCAUAUAGCUUUUUUUUUUGGUCAUUUUUACCUUUUGUUCUUUUAUUUUUUUCAAGUAACAAAUAUAAGGUGUCAAUAGUUUAGGAAAUAUUAACACUCUCUGAGAGCUUUUGUGUCGUGUCAAAUACUUCAACACGUGUCAAACACUCUCCACCACUUUUGGAUACUGCUGACACAUGUUAGAAAAUCCGAUACUUAGUUAACUUUCCCAAUGCUCUCUAACACUCGAAUUGAAAUUCCGACAUGCAAGUUUUUUACACGUGAUUCUGACAUGCGAGGUCAAUUUUAAAUUUUUUUAAUAAAUGAUAGGUCAAAAUAUAUAUGUAAAAAAAUAAUAAAAAUAAUAAAAAUAAUAAAUUGGAAAAGAAAAAAAAAACUAGUCUUCUCUUCUCUUUUGACUCUCACUUCUUAUGAUACACAAUUCACCACCAAGUUUUUUCUCUCUUUUCUAACAUAACUAACAUGCGAGUCCAGAAUGUGAAUUGCUUGUUUUUUUCAUUUCAAAUUUUAUAGAUUAUUGGAAUGGUGUCAAAAUGAUAUUAAUAAAUAGCAGAUUAAUAUUUUUAGUGUAAAUUGAUUAUAGACUUUUUAAAAUUAUUUAUUUAUUUAUGAAUUUGAAUUAAAUUAAUUUGAUUGAAAUAAUAAUAAAAUGAUAAUUUAUUACAUAUAUAUACAUAUAUAUAUAUAUAUAUAUAUAUUUAUACACAACGUAUCCCAACAUAUCGAAAUUCACUGAUUUUUUAGAAACGAUGUGUUGGUAUGUCAUGUCGUGUCGUGUUGCGUAUUGAUGUUGAUACUACUUAGUCAACAGUCAUGCGUUUCGUCUAAUGAAAAUGAACACGGUUUAUGGACCAACUUGCUUAGAUUUUGACUAGUCAAUAUUUUUUGCUCCUCCAUUUAAGUCGUCAGUUUUCUUUUCUGGAUGGUCGUCAGUGGGACAAUUCAAAUUGUCAGCAAUCACAGUAGAAGACGAUCACAAGAUUUCCACGAAGGGAUAGGACCAAAUUGCAAGAGCCCAUUCUGCCCAGUCUCGGGAUCCACAACUUAGACCCCUCUAAAUUUUUACAUGAACAGCUUCUAUCUUGCACUUUUAUAGUCAAUCUAGCGACAAGAGAGAAAGCGGAGGAGAGAAGGAAAAUGGAGAAGANNNNNNNNNNNNNNNNNNNNNNNNNNNNNNNNNNNNNNNNNNNNNNNNNNNNNNNNNNNNNNNNNNNNNNNNNNNNNNNNNNNNNNNNNNNNNNNNNNNNNNNNNNNNNNNNNNNNNNNNNNNNNNNNNNNNNNNNNNNNNNNNNNNNNNNNNNNNNNNNNNNNNNNNNNNNNNNNNNNNNNNNNNNNNNNNNNNNNNNNNNNNNNNNNNNNNNNNNNNNNNNNNNNNNNNNNNNNNNNNNNNNNNNNNNNNNNNNNNNNNNNNNNNNNNNNNNNNNNNNNNNNNNNNNNNNNNNNNNNNNNNNNNNNNNNNNNNGAGGGGCUUCAGCACAUGAUGAGCACUAGUUCGAACCCUUUCUUUUGAUGUUCUUGAAGAAAACACAUGAAAAAAAAAAUACUUUUUUUGUAAUGUUAAUUUUAGGUCUAACAAAAAGUAUCAAAUCGCAUAAAUCCAAAAAGUUAGGUGACUUCAUUCAAUAAAAGUUUAAGGACCAAAUCAUGUAAAUGCCGAAAUUUUUUGGACUAUAUCUAUUAAAAUAGGAUUGUCUUAAGUACACACUAUGAGAUUUUGUUGAGAUUUGCAUAAAUUCCAAAAUAGGUGAGAGCCUGAACACAAGCUUCUUGAGUCCAUACUUGGAAUCAUUGGGCCCAAAUUUCAGCGACGGUGCCAAUUUCGCUGUGUCCGGCGCAGCCACCACCCCUCGCGACCAGCCCUUCAGCUUGGGCGUCCAACUCCGCCAGUUUCUCCUUUUCCGAUCUCGCUCUCCAUUGCUUCUCUCGAGAGGUAAUCUAUCCUUUGACUAGACAAAUUAACCUCUACAAGAAGGCAAAAUUAAGAUAUCUCGAUCUGGCGUCCCGAAUUUCAGGCCACGCAAAUUUGGUCGGCGAGGAUGGCUUCGCCGACGCUCUUUACACCAUUGACAUCGGCCAAAACGACCUCACAGCUCAGUUCAGAACCCUUCCGUAUUUGCAGGUCAUCGGGAACAUCCCGACCUUCAUCGAAGAAAUCAGAUUCGCCAUAUGGGUCAGUCAACAAUUACCAAAAGAUUAGACAUAAUCCCAUCUAUGUAAAUUUAAUUUAUAUAACUAAUUUUUUGUAGAUUAUAUCUUAUUUUUUGUAGAGCAUAUACCACAGCGGAGGGAAGAAUUUCUGGUUGCACAACACCGGGCCACUGGGCUGUUUGCCUGGCAUAUUGGUCGCCGCCGGCCAUGAUGCGAGCGACAUCGAUGAGCUCGGAUGCCUCCGAUCUCGCAAUGAUGCUGCUCGGGAAUUCAAUCGGCGAUUGCAGUCCCUUUGCGAAGAACUGAGGACUCAGAUGAAGAAUGCUACGAUCGUAUACGUCGAUGUCUUCGCGAUCAAAUACAAUCUCAUCGCCAAUUACACUAUACAUGGUACGGAUUUUAUUGCCUCUGAUCUGAGUCCCCUCAAGUUCUGUUAGGGCCGAUUGUCAAGUUGAAACUCAAGAGUUAGCGAGAGUGUCUUGUUCAUUUGUUUUGUGCCCUAUGAGUGGUUACAAACUUACAAUGAUAGUCGAUUUACUUAAGUUUGUCUGCUUUUGGCAUUGCAAUAUGAGUAGGAUUUGAGAACCCGUCAAAGGCGUGCUACAACAAUGGCACCGUGUGCGAGGAGUCGUCGCGCCACGUGAGCUGGGAUGGCAUCCACUACACUGAGGCAGCGAAUUCCUUCGUGGCCUCUCGAAUACUCUCUGCUAAUUACUCCACCCCUCCUAUUACUUUCAAUUUCUUUUGUAACGUUUAAUUUCACUUGAAGAUUUCUGGAGGUUUUGCUGAUUUUAUGAUUUUUGCUUAUCUGGUUCCCUCCCGUUACAUGAGGGAAAUAAUAAUAAUUUCAUGUGCUCGUGGUCAUUGCUAAUCAAAUCUAGAACAUCUACCAGUGACGGCAAGAAUUUUAGUGCAAGUUUAAUUUAAUGAAAAUGUUUAAUGUUGUCACUAAACUUAAAUUAAUAAAAAGAUAGUAUUAAAUAUCUUUAUACAUUUUAGGGAUUAAAUUGAACAUGUAUAAAAAGUUCUAAGGAUCAUUUUAAAUAAAUUAAAAUUUCAAUGACAAUAUUGCACAUUUAGUUGAAGUUUAAGGACCAUGUUAAACAAACUUAAAGUUCAUGGAUCACAUUGUAUAUUAAGUUAAAAUUUAGAAAUCAAUUAAGUCAUUAUCCUAAUAAAGUCUUAUCAUUGUUUGACUUUAAUUUGUUGGUUAACAUUCACGGACGUUUCCAACUAAAAAUUGCCAAUAAUCACAAGGAAACCUUUUUUUUUUUUUUUUGAACUCCCAUGUCCUGUACUCCGCCGUAAAAGACAAAGAGGCCCACUCCACCAUUUCUUUUGUACUAAAACUGCCUUUGGGCCCGACCGCCUAUGUCCUAGGCCGAGGUGAGUGAUUAUAAAAGCGAAUGCUGCCCUAUAGCAGUUGAGACCCCUUAUUAAUAUAUAUCUGAUUUGAUGUGGACAAUUCAUGAUUUAAUUCAAUUUUGACUAGCUAAGCAAAGCAAUUAUUAACCUUGGUGUUAUGUCAACCUCAUGAUCCAGAUGGCGAUACGUCUUCAUAAAUGUGAAAGCUAAUAUGACGCCUCAGUGAAUUGGUGGGGGACACAACUCCAUUGUAUUGUCCUAUUUUUCAUUCAAACUUCAUACAUAUGAACGUUAAUAUUAACUUCAUCAUAAUAAGUGGGAACAAUAUAAUGAUUAUAUAUCGAGUUGCAAAUUCUUACCAAUUAUUUGACAAAUAAAAGCAUCAUAUAUUCUUUGAAAAAAAAAUAUGAUUACAACUACCUGAUUUGAUUAGAUCACCAAUAACAAAAAAUGGUUUCAAUCGAUGGUAAAACAUACUUACCCUUACAAUCUAAAAUUUAAGUGGCCUGAUACAAUCAAAUAGUCAACAUGCACUAAUAAAGAGUGUGGUGCCACAAUGGAAGAUGUUUUCUAUUGACCACAGGCGUAAAAAAAAUUCUAGGUUAAAAGGUAUAUAUAUUCUAUAUGUAGCUGUGAUAUUCAAAUGCUAUAUCAAAGACGGGUGGCAUAGGAAUAAAUUAUAAGAUAUUACUUAGCGAAAUUAAAUAGAUAAAAAAACCUCAUACCCCUAUAUAAUACAUCUCCAUGCACCGUGCAUGGGAUAAAGACGUCUUGUUUGUCCACUUUGUUUCUCUAUGCAAAUCAUUCACAACUCAUUUCUACUCCUUCUUUCUUAUUAUAGAUUGAUGGGCCUAAGCAAAUGACGAGCUAUAAUGUUAGUGAAAAACAUAGUCAAACUUAACUGAUAGUAUUGGUAGUACUAUUGAGGUGAGUGACUUCAUACACAAGUGAAUAUUUACUUCUAGUAGUUGAGACCCUUCAUUAAUAAGUAUUUGCUUUGAUACCGGUAAUUCACAAUGUAAUUCAAUUUUCAUAAAUGAACAUAGCGAUUAUCAAGAAUUGCAUUAUAUCAACGUCAUGCUCCAAAUGGUAGUUCAACUUCAUAAAUGUGAAAGCUAUCAUGAGGCUUCCGUAUUGUCCUAUGUGUCAUUCAAACUUCUUCUAUAUGAACAUUAAUGUUAACUUCAUCAUGUUAAUGUGGGCACCAUAUAAUGAUUAUAUAUCGACUCCCAAAUUUAUAUAAAUUAUUUUACAAAUAACAGUAACAAAUAUUCGUAAAAAAUCUAGCAACCUAGUAGGUGGGUCGAUCACCCUGAAUAAAAAUUUAUUUUAANNNNNNNNNNNNNNNNNNNNNNNNNNNNNNNNNNNNNNNNNNNNNNNNNNNNNNNNNNNNNNNNNNNNNNNNNNNNNNNNNNNNNNNNNNNNNNNNNNNNNNNNNNNUCUUCCAUUGACUCCGGACCUAAUAAAAAUUCUAAUUUAAGAGGUAUAUAUUCAAAAUGAAGUUGCGACAUUCAAUUUGCUAUACCAAAAAAUCUAAUUUAAAUUUUGAAUAUUUGAAUUUUGAGGACACAAGAUAAAAAAGUUCCCGAUUCAUCAUGCAAUACUUAAGCGGAAUCACUUGCAAAUUUGAAUCCAUUAAGUUAUUAAUAACCCAAGUGAGUUUUUAAUGCGUGCAUUUACUUAGAAGAUGAUGUGUAAGAUAAAAGAGUGGAGUCUAUGACACCUAAAGAUUAAUUAAAGUAUUGCAAGUUCUACCACAACCGCAUCACAUACUAUAGUUGUUACAAUUUGGUCUCUAUCUUGGUCGAUCUCGACGCAUUGAGCAACACAUCUCUAGAGAUCUACAACCUUCGGUUUCCAAGCAUGAAGUUACUGAGGCCUUACAUGGCUCUUAGCUUAGGACAACCCUUUAGUUCGACACACCUUCGAUUCUUCAACUUGCGUGGCUUUGGCUUGUGUAAUCUUUCAAUUGAAUCACAGUUUGUUUUUCCUUUUUUGUCUUUUUCCCAAUUUUGUCCUUUUCCCCUGCACCUUCUUCUGCUCCCUCAUAUCACGCUCUCUUCUUUCUCGAACGUUUUCUCUUUCCUCGCAACAACCCGUAUUUCCUCUGUACAGAACCACCAUUGACGAACUCGAUUGAACUACACUACACACGUUCACGCCGGAAUCCCUAUCGGUCCGACGUCAAUACCUGACGUCCAAAUGUUCCCUCAUCAGCCACGACUCCGGCCAAGACCGAGCCACUCAGGCAAGGAAAUAUGAGCUCCAAAAUCGCACAAAACAGUAUAAGAAUUACACAGGAAGCAUACUAAAACAGCAAAGAAUGCACUGACUUGGCGGCCUCGACCGGCGGGCACCACCAGCGACGAGGUUGAGAAUAGCAAGAGCACAACAUAAACGAAAGGGAAAAACACAGAUUCAGAUUCAGUUCAACAACUAAUGAAGUGGACAUGAAUCGACCAUGAAUCUAGACACCGUCGGACGACCGAUUAUGCAAGAAAUGGCGUGCGCUUUUGAAUGCAAAACAGAGCGCGUCUAGAGUUCUCUGAAGAUGGGGCCAGCGACGACGACGAACGGCUACGAGCGGAUGGUGCUGGGGAGGAAGCUGACGACGUCGAUCAGCCGUGGCUGCGAGAUUUUAGAAGGCGCCGGCUUCGCUCUCGUCACGGUUCGUCGCUCACAGCCCCCGCUCCCGGGCGCGCGCGCGCGCAGACACGCCCUCCUCCGUCACCCGCGCGUCACUCUUGCUUCUCUCUUCCUUGCGUCACCGACGCUCUUCUUUUCACGGGGGUGAGCGUGUGCAAGGAAAGGGAGAAGAUGGGCUGGGCUUCCAUUUUAGGUACUGGCGGGCUUAUGAGAACAAAGAAAAGAUGAAAGAGAUGGGCCAAGGAGAGUGAAUUGGACUCAUGGGCCAAAAGAAAAUAAGCGAACUAAAAGAAAUGGGCUGAAAGAGAGGGGUUGGGAAUGAAAAGGCCAAAAACUGCCAAGUGGGCUGGACAACACGAGCCCCUCGAUUUUAUUUUUAUAUCUUUUUUUUUCAAACUUUUUAUUAAAAUUUUGUUAUCUCUCUCUUCUUUCUUCUUCUUAUAUAUAUUUGCCAAAAAUGGAGACCUGAAUGGUCAGCAAAAUUCGGGGUGUCGGUAAGUUGUAUGACAAAAUUUCCCUUUUUAUCAUUAAUUCCAUGCGUUGUUGGCCAAAAUUUCAAAGUGUUAACAACCCCAAAACUGUGAGAACCUCCCUACGGGGAUAGUGGGUUUUUGCAUUCCUGUGAGGCACCCGGUCUUGAAAGGCAAACUUCCCAUGUGAAGGACAACAAUGAGCUCAUUGGGGUCGUGAAGAUACUGAUGGCCUAGAUCAUUAUUGUCAAUAUAUAUAUAAAAUUAUGAUUCCGUGUGUCAGAGAAGUCUCUCGAAAUCAUCAUGGAAAUGGAAAAUUGUCAAAGUACAAUUACAGCCCGUCAUUGAAGGGCAUCAACAGCAACUCAAAUGUUUUUGUUGGACAUUCUAUUUGGAGUUUCUCCACCCCGCAAUAAUCUUUGGCCACCAACGGGUGAAUGCAUUCGUCACUAGAUAUUGUUCAAAAUAAUUCUACCUCGUUAUUCACAUAAUUAUCCCAAAAUGGAUAAAAGAUUGGGAAAUCAAAUUUGUGACCUUUGACUUGCAAAUCAAGUCUUGGACCACUUGACCAAUCAUGGUCGGUUUUUUGGGUGAAAUUUUAUAAAAAUUGGUUUUAUUUAAACCUAUAUUAUUCUCAACAUAUUUAUUCAUUUCUUUUGCUUUUUCCUCGACUCUUUACCAUGUUUAAUCAUUUCUUCACUUUGAGAACUUUCAAUAAAUUGAAAAGAAUCCUCAAAUAGGGGGAGGGAAAACACGAAGAAAUCAAUUUUGACUAAAGAAAGCUAUCUCUUUCUCUUGCCUUGUACUAAUCUUUGUUUAAUCUUCCACGUGAUAUUCUAGGACUUCAACCUGCCAAAUGGGCAAGAUUGGAAAUCGGGUCUAUAUGAAUCCAAGUCAUCAAUUAAGUCAUGUUGAAUGAGUCGAUCUUUCAUCAACAAAUAUCCGAUUCAAUUCGAAUGGGUUGUCCCAUCUUUUUGGCCUAUCUUUUCCAUCGAUCAAUAAACUACUCUAGCUUUUUGGGAAGUAAAGAAUUGACGCAACAAAAACAUACAAUAUCUUGUACUUUGUUCAUGAUGGCAUGAUAUUCUUCUUUAAAUAUUAGGGUAAAUAUAUUCGAAACUAUUGACAUCUGCAUUUUAGUAAAAAAAAUUACGCAUACGUUUUCUAAAAAAAAUGAGCAUAAAACAAUGAAUGGAAGUAAAAAAGAACAAAAGAAAAAGAUUAAUAAAAAGAUAAAAGUAAAUAACAAAUAGAAAAGGCCAAGUUGGUCUAACUGGCACGGCCCACAAGAGCAACCCAUUGAUUUGAUCCACGGCCCAGACCCACCAGCCCCAUUACUUUUCAACCUUUUCCCCUAGCCUGGCCUGGCCUUUUCUCUCCCCUCCUCCGCCCUGCACCCUGCGAGGACAUCGCAGUCGGUCUGACCGAAGAAAGAAGCCGCUCGCUCUGCCUCGACGCUGAGCUUGGAGUAGACAGAUAUUCCAAGUCACGUUCGUUGUCUUCGGCUAGCAAUGUCUCUACCAGAAGACCUUCAGGGGCAUCAGAUGCGGAUCAUUGUCGCCGUUGCUCGUUUCCAUGAAUUCAAGCUCCAGCUGAUGUCAUUCCAGUUGCUUCCUUCUUAUUUGGUUGGUUUGCCAUCCAGGCGAAACUACUUUUAGAUGAUGUUACUAGUAUCAAAAUGGCACAUCGAUGAUUACCUUACAUGUGAUGCAUCAAUGAUUAUUGUUCUUUGUGGAAAGUUUUAGUUGACUCGAUCCCUCUGAUGUAGUGAGCUACACAAGCGGAAUUAUUGAAAGCAAUCGCGACCGCAUCUCCUGGGCUUCUGUCAUCGCAGUCCCGCUUUUGGCUUUUGGCGAUGAGGAGUGUCUUGGCGUGAUGACGCAGCAAAUGUCUGACGAUGAAGCAGUCAAGUGAAAGGCGAGGGGGAAAAAAAACAGGAGAGAUUCGUAAGCGAUGGUUGGAGUCAACUGAGACGGGGCAUCCUUUUCCAUGCGAUUCGUAUCUACUGCAAACUUCCACCGAUCACUGAAGUGAAAGAACGAAUCGCAUGAAUGCCUCAUGGUCAGAACAGCACGCGAUCGGAACUGCAACCAGACGACACUGGAACCGCAAUCGAAGUCAUGAAUGGUGGGAUCGACGACGAUUCACCUCCGAUGAACCUCGAAUCAACGACAAUGAACUUUGGAUUCAAGGAUCGAGCUUUGUUUCUUGUGCGUGUGUGUUGUGUGCCUUCCUUCGUGCAUCUGCCGUGAUCGAAGAUGGAAGGCCGACGGCGGCUUCCAGUGGACCCGGCGGCCAACGGUGAAGCUAGAGAGGACGGUAAAGGCAACGGACGCGAAGCAGAAUGGAGAACUUCCUCGUCAAAUGAUGAAAGCGCCUUGAUUUAAAACAACGAAAAUGUCCCUUUGGCUAUUGCUGUCAUAACCGAAUUCAAGAGAGGAGGGAAAAUCGGCUGUCGCGUAUGACAAAAUUUAUGAUAUGUGUCUCCUUUAUGUUUCAUGUGGUACAAUUCAAGUGUCAUAUCCGACCAUAGACCCCACCCAUAAGAACCCCUCGCAAGAUGAGCACUUCUGCGUGAAGGACCAUGAUGCGUUCGGCCUGAGCUCAUCCUUUUGAAGACAGUAAUACUAGACCAUACUCACAUGUAAUUAAGCAUUGCUAAAACAUGGAAAUGUCUUUAUGGUUUUCGGGAUGAUCGGAGUACUACGAGGUUGAGAAAAUUUGCCCGCCUAUGACUUCCAUCACAGUUGAUCUGUUGGGCCAGUGCAGUAGAGUAAGGAUCAUCCUUUUAUCGAUGGUGCGCAGUCUGUGAAGGAUUUUCCUACUUUUACUAUCGGCUUAAUGAACGUUUACAGUAUAAGAAGUUCUUUUUUUUUUUUUUUUUAACACAAAUUCUUGACCUCUAAUAGUUCUUUCUUUCGACUUGCCUUUACGAGAUACAAUUGGGGAAUAUGUUAUAUAAUGGCACUUUCUUGAAUAAGUAUCCUCAUUUAUGGUGCAAUGCACCGUUUAGCCAGAAAAUUUCAAAUCCAUGACUUAAGAAAGGAUAGUUCUUUAUUGAGAUCUCUCAUCACUGAGACUUGGCAUGUGCCAUGUUGUGGCGCAGAUGGCGUGAUGCAACCUCAUGAUGAAGAGACGAAGAAGUUUGUUCGACACUCUGGCAUCAGCUGUGUGCUUGCUCCUCGUUAUGCAAGUACCAAACUCAGCAUUUUCGAGCAGUCAGUAUGUAUCCUUAAAUGUGUAGGUCAAUUCUUAAUCAAAAUCUAUUUGUAAGAUUGCAUCAAAAGCACCGCUUUGGUGUAUAUUACCUGAUACUCCAAUUCGGUAUAAUUUUANNNNNNNNNNNNNNNNNNNNNNNNNNNNNNNNNNNNNNNNNNNNNNNNNNNNNNNNNNNNNNNNNNNNNNNNNNNNNNNNNNNNNNNNNNNNNNNNNNNNUGUUGUCCUAGAUCAUAUCAUGUGUUUUCUAACCUAAUGACAUGAAUUUAGGACAGCUCUAAAAGGGAAUUUUACAAUAUUGUAAAGGCUACCAUUCGAUUGAAAUCCGAGAUAAAUCUAUGAAAAUGUUUGGUUUGAUUUGUUGGAGUGUGGAUCUUCUAUAGUCCAAGUGGUGGGGACCCUAUACUCACACCACCAAAAGUGCAUGGUUCUUGACACUCAAGCCUCGAGAAACAACUACAAAAUAACAACAUUCAUUGGCGGGCUAGACCUAUGCGAUGGCCGAUAUGACUGUCCGGAGAACAAACUCUAUAGCAAUCUUGAUACCGUCUUUAAGAAUAACAUUCAUGGCCCCACAUUCAUGGUAGUAUGCUAAUGUUUACCUUUAGCAUUGUAAUAACAUGUAUAUGUUAUGUUUUGAUCAUGAGAAAAAAAUUGCUUUUUGUGAUGAUUAUAGUCCACUGUCAAUGUCCCAAGGCAACAAUGGCAUGAUCUACAUUGCAAAGUCGAGGGACAAGUACACAAAUUGAAGAAUCUUGCACAGAGAUGGAGAAAGGCGGCGAAGUGGCGCGAGCUUAAGCCGAAAAAUGUUAGGCGUUGGCAUGAGAGUGCUCCCUUAAGGCUCAACAGGAUUUCGUGGAUACUUUGUCCCUCGACAAGCCCUGAUGGCAACAAAAUAGUACAAGUCAGGGACAAAGAUGACCCGGAAAAUUGGCAUGUGCAGUUCAGGAGAAUUUACUUCAACAUAAUUACCAUUUUCAAGGGACUUCAAUUGUAAACAAAUGAAGUGUGACAACUGUCUUUCAUUUUUAUUUUUUUGUUGGCAUAGGUCUUUAUAUCGAUUGAUUCAGGUUUUGUAAAGGGAUUCCCGAAGAGCAUUGAAGAAGCUGCGAAGCAAGUAAGUUUUAGCCGCUAUACCAUGCUGGUAGAUUUGCGAUUGGCUAUUAUAUGCGUAUAACUUGAAAAGUGUUCUUACAUUAGAAAGUCACUCUUCCUUUUUAUGCAAAGUCUUUAGUGUUUUUAAGUAGAGAUAGAAUUCCACAUUGAUAAUGUUUGGUUCUUUCAAUCUCUUCAUGGUCGCAGAAUCUUAACUGUGGAAAGAACUUGAAAGUAGACAAGAGUAUUCACACGACGUACGUGAAAGCAAUUACAUUGGCACAACACUUCAUUUACAUUGAAAACCAAUAUUUUCUCAGCUCUUGCUAUCGUUGGCAACCAUACAAAGAUGCAGGUAUAAGAUGCCCAUUUCUAUUCAUUUUGACUAACUGAGUUGAGCGAGCAUAAACGCCUCCAGUAAAGAGUGUACAGAUUUGUCUCCCUCAAGAUUGUGUAUCAGCUAAUAAUCGCUAGAACUCACUGUAUAAGACAUUAAGACGGCAUUCUGAUUCAACAUGUUAGAUUCUGAGACAACUCUCUGAACUUUUUAAAUGCAUAUUUUUUCCUCCAUUUUUCUAGUUUUGUUUCAUCCUAUCUAAUUUCUUGAGUUCAAAUUUUUGGUGGCAACCAAUGCUUGAUUUGGUUUUGAACAUGCAGCUGCAAAUAAUUUAGUGCUGAUGGAGCUGGCGUUGAAGAUCGCAAGCAAGAUCAGUGCAAACGAACACAUCUGUGUGUAUGUAGUGAUAUCGAUGUGGCCGGAGGGUGUCCCUAUUAGUGCUGCAGUGCAGGAAAUUCUCUUCUGGCAGAUCAGAUUAAGGAUAAACUCUUUCGUCUUGUAAAAAAAUAGUGAUGACACAUGUAAAUCAAUGAUGUCCAAGCAAAUCGAAACUAAAUAACAUAACGAACGGAAUUAAGCAGAAAACGAAGUGAUCCAAGCAGACCAAGCCGAGCUACUUAAAGGGCAAAUUUGGGACCCGACCCCAUUUCAAUCAUUUUAGUUUUUUUCUCCAGGAUAUAUAUGAUGAUGUAAAAAGAUUAACAUUCACUAUUCUCGUAUGUGUAUUGAUAAUGUGGACAGGGACAAACCAUAAUGAUGAUGUACAAAAUUAUUGCCCAGGCUUUCAAAAAAGCCGAGUUGUCACACAAGUACCAUCCCCUGGAUUACUUAAACUUCUACUGCCUAGGCAAGCGGGAGCCCUUGUCCUCUUUAGUCUUCAUCCCAAGCAAUGAAUCAACAAUCCGAAAAUAAUGCUGUGGCAUAUGUCUAUACUCUUUUCAUGGAUUCUUCCUUUGACUCGUCCGUUAAAAAAGCAAAACGAAAAAAGUCAUUAAGAGCAUGAGUGGUAAAAAGACUAUGGGUUGAAGCAUGCUGUUGUUUCUAUCCAUGCAUGUCACGCCCCAAUCCUCCGAGCACGUGUCCAUCCCUCCUUGGCCAAUUAAAUAGUGACGUCCCAAGAUGCGUCGCCGACCCAUUGGUUUUAAUACGCAUGUGGAAGCAUAUAAAUAAUACCCAGACAAUAAAAUAAUGGGAUAGGAAAGUAGGACCGUAAAUUUUUGAACCUGAAAUGACCACACAUAUAUACAUUGCACACCAUCAUGUAUAUAGUACGAUACAAACUAUCAACGUCAGGUUCUACACAAGCCAAUUCCAAAGCAAAGUCUACAAGUAGGGGUGGGGGCUUCCGAUCUACGGGUCCUUAUCCUCCUCUUCAUCGUCCUCCACGAUCUCACCCUCUUCCACACUCUAGCUGGAGCCCUGAGCCGAAUGCACCGGGGACACGGGGACUUCAAGAGCCAGGUCCAUUGCAUCUACUAUCGAACCUCGAGGAGGAUUAGCUGUUCCCUUUCCAAAAGCAGCCUCUAGGAUGUACAAAGGGAUCUUAGAUUCUAGAGUAGGACCCUCUCUCUAACCAUCUUGAGCAUGGCAGUACCACGAUCGGUAUCGCUGGGGCACCUUUUGGGUGAGACUCGCAUUAAUCCAAACCGUGGACCUCACUAGCUCAUAGGUCUAGCCCCUAGGGCUCCCAGGUAACGGAAAAUAAGAUUCCUUCUCUGUAACACUCUUGGGUCGUCCAAAAAACUCUUGAGCUGGCAUCUAUGGGCCUAAAAUUGUUAUCCCACAACGAGGUUAGACUACGUCUCAGCAAGUUCUAUCCUCCUAAGACUCGAUUAGGAAGCAAAUAUGCCCUGAAGGCUGCCUAAGCACAACACGAAUUAGAGAACUUACCUUGACCUCAAAUCCUUCCUAUCAGACAAUACAAUUCAAAACCAUUAUUCAAUCAUCAUUUCACAAAUCACUUUACUCAACUAGAUUGAAUCAUCGAUCAAUUAACUUAGUCGAUUAUAUGUCAUCGAGACCAUCACACGAUCAUUUCAAUUAUUCAUUCUCAACUCUUAGUCACAGCGGAACGGCACAACCUAGAUUAAGGGGUAACCUCUACCCCACUGGCAAAAUCUAGAUUUUGUGAUAAUCACGACCCCAUCGACAAUCUUCUAGAAUUAUGCGAUAAUCAUGGCCCCACAAGCAAUUUUCUAGAAUUAUGUGGUAAUCACGGCCCCAUCGGCAAUUUUCUAGAAUUAUGUGGUAAUCAUAGUCCCACCGGCAAUUUUCUAGAAUUAGUUGGUAAGUAUGGCUCCACCGGCAAUUUUCUAGAAUUAUGACCAAAAUUGUCCAUUUUUGGAAUAAUAACCAACAAUCACCACUCAUACUCAAAUUGCACAAUCUGGUACUCAAUUAAAUAAACAGAAAGUACCACUGCAAUCAGCACGAAAUUUCAGUCACUGACUAUCCCGAUUUAAUUUCUGGAAAUUAAUUAAUUAAUUAAUUACGGAAAUUAAUAAAUAAAUACAAUAAAUACAACUUAGGCUCGAAAAGCCUCAUUGGAAGCCGAGACGGGCCCGAAAAAUUACCGAACCACUCUAGUUAAAUACUAAAGCUUGUCUAGACUCUAAUUGCACUAACUAUCCACCUAACAUGCAUUGAUAAUUAAUUAAAUUUACUAAUCUAAUUUAACUAACCAUCUAAUCCAUACUUAACUUAAACUAAUCAACAUUUAAGUGUCAUUAACCUACUAAACAAGAAUUAGUGAGCUAAACUCACUUGUUUAACGAACCGCUCGGUUCGAAACGAUGGGAAUGCCGCGAGGCUUAACUCUCUCCAAAGCGAGCCUAGCUUUCAGGAUCUGGAACAACCUCAAAACAGGCCUGAUGUGCUGCUGGAAAUCCACUUAUUUGCUCUCUGUUCAAGGCUACAAAAGAGGGAAAACGAGGGCUGGUUGGCGAGGCAAGACCGGCAGAGGUAGCAGGGACACUCAGUGGCCACCGGCGGUGCUUCAUGGCGGCUGAAUAGGGGCGAGGUGGCUCCGGCUGGGCUCAACAAGUCCUGACAUAGCAGUUGGGAUGCGAGACAAGGUUGCUGGGCGUCGGGGUAGCACGAAUGGGUGCGGAACAGCAGUGGCGUGCGCGCGAGGCACGGAUGGGUGCAGCGACAGGCGAUGGCUCGAACAGUUCCGACGACUUCUCUACUGGCUGCCAGAGUUUGAAAACAGCAAGGAGGAGGCUAAAGGGGUGCCGGUCGAAGACUAGAGGGAGAGAGGGAAGAGAUGAGGGGGACAAUGGGGGGCCACAAGCCUUAUUUUCUCUUCAAUUGUCUCCCUUGACCAUCCUUCACCACUAGCUGCUUCUUAGGCUGAAAAUCAGCCACCAAGGCUCACUUCUAGAAGCCUGAGAUGGUCUAAACGUUGCGGGUGGUACGGGCACACGAAUUUGGCUCGGUUUCUCUUCCAUUGGACACUCAAUCCUCAUUGAAUUAAUCCAAUUCGGUCUUUAAAAAUUCAAUUGUCGAUUCAAUAAUCAAAUUGGUAUUUUUCCUUACCAAUUGAAUCAUCUUGCCUCCCAACUGCGCAACAAAAAAUGAUCCCUGACGAUUUCUGAACAAAAACGGCCCUACGACGACUUUUUCCCAAAAAAUCUUGGUUUGCAAAAAAAUCUUUGGAGGUGGAGUCGACAUUUCUAAAAUGAUUCGUGACAUGACAGGAUUUUCAAUUUCUGAAAUCAGAUUUAAAUUUGCAGUUAAUUUCACUCUAACGCGUUUUUAGCGUGACCUAAGUUACCAAGUAGCUUUCAGAACUUUUUAAUACAAAUGACCCGUGGUCGAUUUUCUUUGAGCUACAAUGAACCUGUUCAAAACAUUGACAACUCUGUUCAUUGUUUCUUACCAAAGCUUUCUUCAUAAAGGUGGUUCCCCUUUUUAUUCACGACCGGUCCUCUCUUCAUUUCUUGCAUCACAGCUGCUUUGUUGGCGGCAACAUGGAGUUCCUUUUGCCUAUUCCAUUUCAUUGAUUCUCUGGUCGCUUGUUCUCUGGUUGAGUGGGAGACCAAGGUUAUUUUAGGCGCUACUCUAGGAGCCAUCGUUGCUGCAUCCCAAAGUUGUUUAAGGAUGACAAACCCACCGAAACUGUGUCCAAAAAGUCAGGUGGUUUAUUAGGAAUUGCUAAAAGUGUGAUUGUUGAAAGCACCUCAUUAGUUGAAGAAGAAACAUUUUCUCAAAUUUUCAAAACUGCUGCAAACCGCAUCCUAUGAUCCCCCUCCAACACAGAAGUAAUUACGAACUCGGUUCGGUCCUUGCAUAAGUACUAGCAGCUUUGUGCUUGAUCUUUCUGUCUAUGCGAGAGAAGGGCAGAGGAUAUCUGUUGGAGCAGUAUCCUAUUCUGUUCUGUAAGCAAAAGCCAUUGCAAGAAAUUGCGUAUAAUCACCUUAACGCUGGACCAAAUAUUGCCGGAAGAGGCGUGUUAUUAGGUGGUAGAGGGACGAGAAUUUCUGAAAGUAGAAGUUUAGGGUAGCUUCCUGUCACUCCAUUGUGAGAAUAAAGAGGGAAAAAAAAAUAUCUCACGAGGAGCUGAUGAACUUGGCCAAGUUUCUGAGACACUUGACUGCUGGGAUUCGACCGACCGUUCUUCAUUAGCAUCGUAAUCAUCAUCAUUCUCGAAAGCCAGAUACAUCCCGCGCUCCCAAGAAAGUAUGGUGGGUCUCGCAAGACUAUCUAUUCAUGUCUCCUUUUAACGUCCGAACCAUUGGCUUGGAUUCUGGAUAUCUAAUCUUCUAAAAGCUGGUCUUCACUUUUGUCCCCCCAUCUGGUUUAAUGUCGAAGCGUGUAUCGGAUCUUCGAGCCUGAGAAGCCUUCCUUUAAUGUCCUCGAUUGUCGAUAGCAGGAUGUUUGCCCGGUUUGCACUGUCCGCAGAGACAACAAUGGUGAAAAUUAUCACUCUAAUCUCGCGGUUCUUCUUCGGAGCAGCAAAAUGAGGAGAUUCUUGACAAAACCAUCCACGAAUCUCACUCCUAGGGACACUUGAGUUGUACGGAUGCUAUAGAGCAACCGGCAAUUUCCCAUUAAAAAACACAUUUUGAGGUCAAACUUUGUGCAUUCGUGAUUGAUUGUGCUCACAUCUUUAAGCAUAUUGAUAAUUUUGCAUAAUUUUGCAUAUUAAGAUAGGAUUUCAUAUUUUAUAAUAAGUGCCAGCACAUUAGGGGUCUCUUGAAUGAAUGUUCUUUUGUGAAACAUCGAUAAGUUGCAUUGCAUAUAUAGUGAAUUUGAAUAUGUGCGUAUUUCCUCCCAUUAUUGCAUAUUUACUUCUUCUUUUUUUAUGCUGUAAGGAGAAAAAAAUAACAAAGAGUCGAUCUUGCAUGUUAGUAACUUUAGAUUGCAUUCUCGCGAUCCAUCACACAGAAUUAGACUAGAAUUGUGUAUGUGUUUAGGAUAAAAUUACAUAUUUCCAUCUUUUAGAGUAUAUUUAAUUUCCUUAUAUUUAAUUUGAGAGUCAUGAAAAUACAAAGUUAUCACUUUUGCAUUACAGACUUAGGAUUUCUUUCCAUGUAGGAUAUUGGUUCGAUUCUUAUUUGCAUGAUUAAAAGCUCGUUUUUAGGAAAAUAAUUUAUAUAGAGUGGGUUUUUGCAUAGCAUAUUUGUAUUUUUCUUUAAUGCAUCGGUCUACAUUAGAAAACUUGCAUGGACUUUUCAUUAAGGAUUAAUAUUACGAAAAACCUUGAUGCAUCAACGACAAAUUUACGUCAAAUUAAUUUUUUGACCACAAAAAACUCAAACGGAUAUACUUGUGACAAAUUUAUCUCAAAUUAAAUUUUAACCAUUAAAAAUUCCAACUAGUGCUUGUGUGAUAAAUUUAUCACAAACUAAUUUUUUAUCAUCAAAAAUCAUAACCUGGUACAUGUAUAACAAAUUACCCUUUGUUAGUUUCCAUUAAAUUGGUUAAAUACUAUAAAAAGAAAAACCACAAAUUGGUAUAUAUAUAACAAACGGAAGGUAAAAUCUUAAAUUGGUACAUCCGUAAUCUGUCUCAUGUAUUUCAACUUAGCAAUUUGACAAUUUAUCACUAGUAUACCAGUUUCGGAUUUUUAAUUAUCAAAAAAUUAAUUUAGGUAAAUUUAUCAUAAACAUACUAGUUUGAGAUUUUUCGUGAUAUUUAAUCAUUUAAUUUACUUCUGCAAUUUUUUUGCUAUUUAUUUAUUACAUUUGAUUCCCAAUCCUCUCUUUCUCCCCAUAUGUACCAUGUCUAAAUCGAUCUGUCUCGGGGGAUACUCUCUCCUGGGUAAAGAUUUCGCCAGAAGCAUAAAAAUUCCACGUGCACACAAACACAUCUGCUCAUCACUCGACGUUGCCGCCUGCCUACGAUGGUUUUCACGAACAAUUCGCUCAUAUAAACACAGAACAAAUACCGACCAAAACAAAACACAGAACAAAUGCGCUCAUCACAUUCUCUCACCACCUAAGAGAAAUUAGUGGCAGACCGCAGACCGCAGUUGCCUGCCAAAUUUUCCUCCACGCCCUCCUUCCUCUAGCACCUUCUCUCUCUCUCUCUCUCUCUCUCUCUCUCUCUCUCUCUCUCUCUCUCUCUCUGCACGUGCCGGCGGCGGCAGGCGGCCGGGUGCGUGGCAGUUGUCCAUGGCUCAGGCGGAGGAGAAGAAAGAAGAGAACCAUGUCCUUUUGGUGGCCUUCUCUUCUCAGGGCCAUAUCAACCCGAUGCUAAGGCUUGGCAAGCGUCUCGCCGCCAGAGGCAUCCAUGUCACCCUUGCCACCACCGAGAUCGCCCGCCACCGCAUGCUUAAGUCCUCUGGUGCCGGUCCCGCUGACCUUGUCACCGGUAUCGAGCUCCUGUUCUACUCCGACGGCCUGAGCCUUGACUACGACCGGAAGACCAACCUCGACGUCUACAUGGACAGCCUAGGUAAACAUGGGCCUAGCAAUCUCUCGUCUCUAAUCAAAGAACAUUACCCGAGUCCGAAGAAGCUCUUAAGCCUAGUCACGAACCCUUUCGUGCCCUGGGUUUCCGAUGUAGCCGCCGAGUACAACAUCCCUUGUGCCAUGCUAUGGAUUCAACCGUGUGCGUUGUACGCGAUAUACUAUCGCUGCUUCAAUAAGCUCAGCGCCUUCCCGACUCUGACAGACCCUGAUAUGGUUGUGGAACUACCGGGUUUACCUUCGAUGGAGAAGGAGGAUCUGCCAUCCUUUGUGCUCCCCAACAACCCAUUUGGCAGCUUCCCCAAAUUAUUCUCUGAAGUAUUCCAAGGCAUGGAGAAGUUCAAAUGGGUUUUAGGGAAUUCUUUCUAUGAGCUUGAGAAACAUGUCAUAGACUCGAUGUGCGAGCUUUAUCCGAUAAGGCCAAUCGGUCCACUAGUCCCUCCAACGUUGCUAGGCCAAGAUCAAGAACUUGAGAAUGCGAGUGUGGAUAUGUGGAAAUCAGAUGAGACUUGCAUUGAAUGGUUGACGCAGCAACCUCCAAGCUCAGUCAUCUAUGUAUCCUUUGGGAGCAUAGUUGUGUUACCAGCCAAGCAAAUGGAAGCGAUAGCCACGGCUCUAAAGAACGUGAAGCGUCCCUUUCUUUGGGUGGUGAAGCCGCCUGAAUUCCCGACGCCUGAUGGCGCAGGGCAACUUCCAUCACGGUUUCUUGAAGAAACCAAAGACCAAGGUCAAGUCGUGUGCUGGUCUCCUCAAACUAGAGUUUUGUCACACCCGGCUGUGGCAUGUUUCAUCACUCACUGUGGAUGGAAUUCCUUGCUCGAGACUAUUUGCUCGGGUAUCCCUCUCAUAGCCUACCCACAGUGGACUGACCAGCCGACCAACGCAAAGCUCAUUGUCGAUGUCUUUAAGAUUGGCGUGAGGAUCAAGAAGGAAGUUGAUGGAAACAUAAGCAGUG
This 83146-nucleotide long non-coding RNA is filed under the name Eucalyptus grandis. RNAcentral's name for it is "long non-coding RNA (EGRA_LNC004215)". Lineage: Eukaryota; Viridiplantae; Streptophyta; Magnoliopsida; Myrtales; Myrtaceae. The record is from RNAcentral.